UUGAUUAGACCCAAACCAGCUCGAAUCAGUAGCAUCAUUUUCUAUAUAAAGGCCUCCUCCACCUACAAACCAUUCCUCACACAAAACAUAAUCAUGGAGUGGUGCAAGAAGUUCGCUUUUCUGAUGGUUGCAAUGGUGCUUCUUCAAUCCAUGGUGCCUCCGACAGCAUUAGCUGCUCGUAACAAUGUUAUGGAAUACAAUCCAUUGGCAAGCGUAUUCUCGAGGGAAGGCCCUGGCUGCAUCGCAAAAGGCGGGUUUUGCUUGUUUGACCUAACCAGUUGCUGUAGGCCAUGCGGAUGCCUUGCAGGGUGGUGCUAUAACAUUGAUCAUGAUUGCAAAGAGUACACAUAAUGGUCGCUACUGAGUUAAAAAAAAACAGUUCUGAGUCAAAAAAUGACAUGGGAUUUGAUUAUAAAUGUUCUAUAUAUAACAUAUGUAUUUGAAUAAAGAAUCUCGUGUUAUGUCCCUGUUUAAUUGAGCUGUGCCAUUGUUGUAAGAGUCGGUGUUUUCCGUCUUCUCGUUGGUGUGUUGGUACUGUGUGUACCCUUGUUAUUGGCAUGUCUAAAAAUAAAUAUAUAUGUCAAUCAACUAAGUUUUAUGAGUACUUACCUGCCUCUCUUAUCUAAUUCAUGGACGGAUCACAUUUUAUAAAUUGAGCGAGGAGAUGUUAUUGUCGAGACUUGAAUCCUGGACUUUAAAUAUUAACACACAGCUCUUAACUACUUGCUCAAUUAUGGUAAAUAUCAUUAAUAAAUACUAAUAUCAACACGGAUGUUGGAAAUCACCACAGUUGGGUUGGGUGAAAAUCAAUAUGGAUGGAACGGUUGGGCGAAUGACUGAUAUAGCGACAGCAGGAGGAGUCAUCAGAGAUCAUAAUGUGAAGUGGCUGUGAGGCUGUUAUAGCAAUCUUGGUUCGUGUUCUGUGCUUCAUGCUGAGUUAUGGAGUGGUUGGGAGGGUUUCUUUCUGGCAUUGAAUUGCGGGUUUAGCAGGGUGGUUUCAGAAAUGGAUAAUGUAAAAAUAUUAUGUUCUCAGGAGAAUAAGGAAUAUACGGGUUAGCCAUGGGAAGUGAAGAUACAGCAUGCUUUGGUGAGGGUAAUUUUAUUCCAAAUGGUCUUGCAAACCAGCGGGUGAAUUCGAAUCCAGAAACACUUGUACUUAUCAGUGCACUAGACGAGAUCUUGAGAGAAUUACAUGAUGAAGCAUGCCAAAUUGGGUAUGGCAGGGUGUGAGUGUCUUAGUUGUAACUUUGUAUAGCUUUUUAUUUUACUCACGAAUUAAAAAAUAAUAUAAAUUCACGUAACUAAAUAAUAUUGCUUAAAGUGGUAUGAAGUAUGGAAUACUGGGGAAUUAUUAUACUUCUGUUUUUUGAAUUAUAUUUUAAAAUUCAUAUAUGUUUGUGGGAUCAAUUGGAUAUAUAAAAAGGACUGAUGUAAUUAUGCUUUCACUUUCAUUAUUAAGAUUAUCAAUUUAGUUUGUUAGUUGACAUAUAUGUUUAUUAAUAAAGUUAGCUUUUGAAAAAUAAAUAAAGUUAGCAAGAUUUAUGUACCAUCCUACCUAGGGUGGGACGAAUUUUUGCUUGUCCCUACUCAAACAAGAUGAACCCAACUUAAAUUUUAUUUAAUUAUUUUGUUUUUUAUUUUAAAAAUUAAUUUUUUGAGUUUACACAUAUAUAUAAUUAUAUGGCAGUGACAUUUUUGCAAAUAUUUAGGGACGGGUUGAGGGGAUUUACCUCAAACCCAAUUCCAACCCCUUAGCAUUUGAAUUUAUUGAAAUGCUUGGAGCAGAAGUCCAUUUAUUAUUGUUACAGUAUGCUUUUUUUUGUGCAAAGCUUGCUCUCGGAUUGCAAAGAAAAUCAAUUGGAUUUUGAUAGGAAGCUUUACCUAGUAUCUUUAUUUUUGUAAUCCCAGCCUUAUGGAUUUUAAUUUUAUGGUAAAAGUUCUAGGAAAGCCCUUAUACUUAAGGAGUGGAUUGCAUUUCGGCUCUUUCUAUUGAAAAAAUAAGUAAAUUAAUCUUUAUAUAUUUUGAAACGUGUAAAUUAAUUCGUCCAUUAAAUUUUAUGACGUGGAACGUUAAUUUAAAUGGUUGAUUACUAGUUUAAUCCCUGAACUAUAGUUAAAAUAUCAUUCUUUUUAAAAAUUCUUAACAAUAAUUCUAAAAAAUUAAAAAAAAAUCUUAAAAAUAAAUAUAACUUAUUAAAAAUUAUGUUAAAAUAUUUUAAAAAAUAAAAAUUAUAAAUAAAAAAUUCUAGAAAACAAAACUUAUAUCUAUUUUUUUUUUAAAAAUUGUCAAACUUUCAAGUCGAAACUUGAAACCAUCAUAUUUUUUUACAAGACUUUCUUCCCUGUUGUAAAAAACCCAAAAAAUCAAAAAGGUUUCUCAUGCUUGAUUGAAUUCAUAAAGAAAUAAAUAAAAACUUGAUUGAACCCAAGAAAAAUUAUCUAAAAGUUUUGACUACUCAUUUUCAAAUUUCUCAUACUUUCAUAAAUAUUCAUUUAAUCUUCGUCGCCUAUGCUUCCAACUAAAAUGUAUAUAAAAAUUUAUUUAAUGUUUACUUUAUUCUACAUUAGUGAAUACUCAUUUUUGCAUCUCCUAAUGAUGUAUAAUCAUAUUACAAAAUUUUGAUUACUCAUUUUCACAUCCCCUUAGCUAUUACAAACUUUCCUAUUUGAAAAAUCUUAUUGUUUUAUACCCUAGAAGCCUUAAUCUUUAAGCUACUGGGUUUUGAAUUUUUAAUAUAAAUGUGUGGGUUUUAUCUUUAAGCUUUAAUCUUGUUCGAAAAUUAGCAAAAGAUAAAUACAUUAAAAGCACAAAUUUAAAUUGCUAUCAUACCCUGAACCUAAACCCAUAAUUUAAUAGAAGACCCACCUUUGAACCGAUCUGACUCGACUAUUUUUCUAAUUUCACCCUAUAUGACCUACAUCGAACUUAAUUAUUCGAAAAUAAAAUUAGACCCAAACGGAUCGGGUCAGCACAAAACCCGUCAAAUUCACCAGGACGAAGACAAGGGGCAAGUAAUGCCCAAAAACAUAUAUAUAUAUAUAUAUAAUUUAGAUCUUUUAACAUUUAGGAAAUUUUAAAUUAAAAAAAAUACAUUUUAACAUUUUAAUCUCAAUAUUUAUGAUUCAUCUCUAUAUCCUUUUAAAAGUAUUUUUCUGGGUUCACCCUUACUCCAACCAUUCGUACUGCUUAGUAACAUAUAAACGUAACAAAUUAUUUAUCUCUCCCAUCAGUACUACAUGCACAUAAGUGCAUUCACUAUUCCAUGCAAUAUCUCAUUUGUCACAUGCAUUACGAACCUGGUCCCCAUCACUACAUGCACAUAAAUGCAUUCAUUAUUCCAUGCAAUAUCUCAUAUGUCACAGGCGUUACGAACCUGGACCAUCAUCUUUUCUAUAUAAAGGACCCUCCACCUACGAACAUUCCACACACAAAACAUAAUCAUGGAAUCCUUCAAGAAGAUCGUUUUUCUCAUCGUUGCUUUAUCUCUAGUUCUUCAAGCCACGGUGCCUCCAAACUGCGUUAGUCCUCUCGUAACGAGGUUAUGUCCUCUGCUGCUGUAUCGAAAGUGGCUAACGAUUCCAACGGUUUGGCUAAGGUUUUCGAGAAGGUAGGCCCUGGCUGCAAACCUAAAGGUUCGUUUUGCUUGUUUGACCUAACCAGUUGCUGUAGGCCUUGCGGAUGCCUUGCAGGGUGGUGCAAUAACAUUGAUCAUGAUUUCAAUUAAUGAGUACACAUAAUGGUCAUUACUGAGUCAAAAAAAAAAAAAAACACAGCUCUGAGUCAAAAAACGACAUGGGAUUCGAUUAUAAAUGUUCUAUAUAUAACAUAUGUAUUUGAAUAAAGAAUCUCGCGUUAUGUCCCUGUUUGGUUGUGCUGUGCCAUUUGUUGUGAGAGUUGGUGUUGUCCGUGUUCUCUUUGGUGUGUUGGUAGCAUUUUUCUCAAAAACAAAUUAAGUGCCUUUCACAAUUUUAAAUAUAAAAUAUUUAUUUUAUAUUAUAAAAAAUUAAAAUUAAUUAUUCGAUUCGAUUCAGUUUUCUAACUUGAAAGCCAAAACGAGUGAGUAGUAGCCUACUAGAGUAGAUUGAAUUAGCAAAUCGACACUAGUUUAUACGUGCUUCCUUUUGAACCGCUUCGAAAUCAGCUCCAAAAAACUGCUAGAGUCUCGAGCAACUUAAAAACCUCAAAAAAAAUUAUAGAGCUGAAAAGCACAAAAAAUGUACCGUUUCAGAGGCAGGUGAGCUGAAAAACUAGCAGCUGAAAGGGACAAACCCGUCACGUGCAGCUCUCCAAUAGCAGGUCAUGGAGUUCAGUGAAGAAAAACCACAGCAGGCAUAAGCAGCACAAAACCAGACCCAAACAGCUCAAUAAAUAGAAUUGAAACAGUUGAUUAGACCCAAACCAGCUCGAAUCAGUAGCAUCGUUUUCUAUAUAAUGGGCCUCCUCCACCUACAAGCUAUUCCACACACAAAAAACAUAAUCAUGGAGCGGUGCAAGAAGUUCGCUUUUCUGAUGGUUGCAAUGGCUCUGCUUCUUCAAUCCAUGGUGCCUCCGACAGCAUUAGCUGCUCUUAACAAUGUUAUGGAAUACAAUCCAUUGGCAAGCGUAUUCUCGAGGGAAGGCCCUGGCUGCAUCGCAAAAGGCGGGUUUUGCUUGUUUGACCUAACCAGUUGCUGUAGGCCAUGCGGAUGCCUUGCAGGGUGGUGCUAUAACAUUGAUCAUGAUUGCAAUGAGUACACAUAAUGGUCGCUACUGAGUUAAAAAAAAACAGUUCUGAGUCAAAAAAAUGACAUGGGAUUCGAUUAUAAAUGUUCUAUAUAUAACAUAUGUAUUUGAAUAAAGAAUCUCGUGUUAUGUCCCUGUUUAGUUGAGCUGUGCCAUUGUUGUAAGAGUUGGUGUUUUCCGUCUUCUCGUUGGUGUGUUGGUACUGUGUGUACCCUUGUUAUUGGCAUGUCUAAGAAUAAAUAUAUAUGUCAAUCAACUAAGUUUUAUGAGUAUUUACCUGCCUCUUUUAUCUAAUUCAUGGACGGAUCACAUUUUAUAAAUUGAGCGAGGAGAUGUUAUUGUCGAGACUUGAACCCUGGACUUUAAAUAUUAACACACAGCUCUUAACUACUUGCUCAAUUACGGUAAUAUCAUUAAUAAAUACUAAUAUCAACACGGAUGUUGGCAAUCACCACAAUUGGGUUGGGUGAAAAUCAAUAUGGAUGGAACGGUUGGGCGAAUGACUGAUAUAGCGGCAGCAGGAGGAGUCAUCAGAGAUCAUAAUGUAAAGUGGCUGUGUGGCUGUUAUAGCAAUCUUGGUUCGUGUUCUGUGCUUCAUGCUGAGUUAUGGAGUGCUUGGAAGGGUUUCUUUUUGGCAUUGAAUUGCGGGUUUCGCAGGGUGGUUUCAGAAAUGGAUAAUGUAAAAAUAUUAUGUUCUCAGGAGAAAGUUGGGCACAAUGCUAUAGUCAGGAGAAUAAGGAAUAUAUCGGUUAGCCAUGGGAAGUGAAGAUACAGCAUGUUGUUGGUGAGGGUAAUUUUAUUCCAGAUGGUCUUGUAAACCUGGGGCGGCUGAAUUCGAAUCCAGAAACAUAUGACUUACAUGAUGAAGCAUGCCAAAUUGGGUAUGGUAGGUGUGUAUCGAAAAAAGGGUAAAUUAGUAUUUAUACAUUUCGGAACGUGUAAAUUAAUUCUCUAUUAAAUUUUAUCUAUUAAAUGAUGAUAUGAAAUGUUAAUUUAAAUGGUUGAUUACUAAUUUCUUUUUUAUUGUAAGAAACCCAAAAAAUCAAAACUAAUUCUCAUGCUUGAUUGAAAUCAUAAGUAAAUAAAUAAAAACUUGAUUGAACCCAAGAAAAUCAACAAGAAGUUUUGAUUACUCACUUUCAAAUUUCUUAUGCUUUUGUAAAUGUUCAUUUAAUCUUCGUCGCUUAUACUUCCGACUAAAAGGUAUAAAAAAUUUUAUUUAAUGUUUACUUUCUUCUACUUUAGUGAUUGCUCAUUUUUACAUCUUUUAUGCUUUCAUAUCUCUUAAUGAUGUGUAAUCGCCGUUUAUAAAAUUCCGAUUACUCAUUUUCACAUCCUCUUAACUAUUAUAAACUUUCCUACUUGAAAAUCUUAUUGUUUAAUACCUUAGAAGCUUUAAUUUUAAGUUACUGGGUUUUGAAUUUUUAAUAUAAAUGUAUAGAUUUUGAACAAUUUAAAAUUUUUGAAAAUAAUGUUUUAAAUUUAUAGGAAGAAAUAAAAUAUAAAAAGUGAAAUUUUAAUUUAAAAUAAAAUCCUAUUGCCAUCAACAUGUGGAGAAGGAGUGAAAGGAGUUUUUUGUCUUCAUCUUAUUCUUCCUCGCUAAAAAUAUAUGCAAAUUGAAAGGUUUUGUCUCCUGUAAAUGUGUUAUUUCUUUGGUUUGAUUUUAUUUCAGCAAUAAUAAAAUCAUUAAUUUAUUGAAAUGAGUGUUUUUAGAAUUACACUGAAAGCGUCUUCAACAGAUAAUGUUAGUGUUUCAUUAUAUUUGAUAGUUAUACUUCUCAUCAAAUCAAGAAUUUUAUUAAAAAAGAAAAUGUUUCCCUAGCAUUAAAAUAGUGUUCAGUUUUUAAAAAAAAUAGUAACACCAUAAUUCACCAAAAAAAACAUAAGUUUUUGCGAUAAUAAAUUUGGGUUUGAUUUUGUUUUAACAUAUUUUUAAUAUAUUUUGAUAAUUUUUAUUUAUUUUUAAUUUCUUAGAGUUAUUGUUAAGAAAUUUUUUAAAAUAUCAAAGUUAUAUUUUAAUUAUAUUUCAAGGACCAAAUUAAUAAUUAACCAUUUAAAUUAACAUUCUAAAUUAUCAUUUUUUUCAAUAGAAUGGCCUAAAUGCAAUCCACUGCUUUUUAUCAAAUUUAAUACCUAUUAAGAUUCAUUCUAAUUUUAAUCUUCAGCUGCAUGAAGGGAUCUAUUAAAAUAAUGUUAUCCCACUUAUUCUAAAUUUUAAAUUUCACGUAAUCUUACGAUUUUAUAAGUUGUAUGAUUUAACCUAGACUCCAAAGAAAAGAGAGAAAUUUGAUGCAUCAAGACUUCCAACCACUAUGCCAUGCAAGUCACGUAAUUUGUCAUGCAAUCCAUAUGCUUAUAUAUGCUUUUUUUUUUUCUUUUAAUUUUUUUGCUAAGCCACUAAUAUAUGUUCAGUAUUUCUAUAUAAAGCACCUCCAUUUAUACAUUUCCAUCAAAUUUAUGAUCAGAUUUAACACUAAGAAAUGGAGUACUGCAAGAAGCUUGCUUUGGUGUUGGCGAUNNNNNNNNNNNNNNNNNNNNNNNNNNNNNNNNNNNNNNNNNNNNNNNNNNNNNNNNNNNNNNNNNNNNNNNNNNNNNNNNNNNNNNNNNNNNNNNNNNNNGGUUGUGGCAGCCACCACAACGGCAACCGCGGAUCGCAACGAGCUGACGGAAACUCUUUCCAUCGAAGCAAUUGUUUGAACUCUAGCUUGACUAACAUCAUCAAGAACCCUUUGGGCAAUAUUUUCGACGUUAAUGGCGAACCUGUAGUGGAAUGCAACCCUGAUGAUCAAAACUGCAUUAAAAAAUAUGGAUUUUGCUUGUUUCAGAACAAGAUUUGCUGUGAUGACUGCACGUGCUUCGGGUUGUGCGUGCUUUGCAGACAAAAAUAAAGACAGUGACUGAUCAGGAAGGGAUCUCAGGAAUCAAUGUUUUAUUGUCUUUCUUUUUGUACCUAACUAUGGUGCUGGUACUGUUUUCAUGUUUUGUUGAUGUUUGCGGACUUAAAUUAUCAAUAAGAUCGCAUUUAUUAAAAGUUAAGUAUUUUUCCUCAGCUAUAUAUAUAUUUGCUGGGAGAAGGCUUACUCCGGAACCUCAACGGGUCGGUAUGAUCUCAAGUCUGAGGUUUUUUUUUUUCUGUAAAAAGCCCAAGUGUUUAAGGCAUUAGAUUCAUAGAAUCUUAUCGAGAUCAAAUCAUAUAUAGCGCACAGCCGCCUAUCAAAAGAUAUAUAAGCAUUUUACUAGGGUUUGAACUUGUACCCUUAAAUGAUAACAAAUAGGGUGAAGUCAAAAAACUUUUUUAGGGGUCGAAAUAAGAGUAUUUUACAAAAAUAAUAUAAAAAAUAUAAAAAUAGUAUAACUUUUUUUUUAUUUACUAAAAUGGUACCAAAAAAACAGUUAAAAAAACGAAAGAAGGUGAGUUCUACAUGGUCUACAAUUUCACGGAAUGAUUUCGUGAAAAUUUCGUCCGAAAAUUUUGACGUUUGGGCACUCAAUUUAGUCAAAAAGACUAAAUUGUAAAAAAUUCAAAAGUUGAGUUCUACAUGUUAAAGGUGUCCAAUUAUUAUGAAAUUUUAAAUUGGAGGUCCUUAAAUAGUAAUUAGACCAUUGGUUAAAUUGUGGACAAAAAUGGACAUGAGAAAAGUGAAAUAGGAUAUUUUUAAGUUAGGGGCAUUUUGGUAAUUUGGUAAUUAAAUGGACAAAAAGACAAAAUAAAAGCCAAAAACCCUUGUCCAUCUUCUAGCAUGACCGAAUAUGUCAUGGAAGCCAUGGCUAGGGUUUUGUUCAAGCUUCAUAGUAAGUCCAUCUUUGCCCCGUUUUUAAUGUACUUUACAUUUUUGAGAUCCUCGUAGCUCGGUUUAUUUAUUUCUACCGUUAUUUUGAGCUUGGGUUUGUGUUUAAAAAUUUACCCAUAGGUGACAUGCAUGUAUUUUGAUAUUUUAUGGAAGAAUAUGAAUGUUUGGAGUGUGAAAAACAAUUUUUACUAAGUGAUUUUUGAUGAAAUUGGAUAAAAGAUUAAUUUGUAAAAAGUUGUAAAAUGUGUGUAAGUGUGUGAAUAAGUGAAAAUUUUGGACUGCUAUAGUUAUGAAAAUGGUUAGGCUCAGCCUAAAAUUCAAGGAAAUUGAAUAAAAAUUAUUUUACGAGCCUAGGGCAAAAUCGUAAUUUUGUGAAACUUUAGGGGCGAAAAUGUAAUUUUGCCAUAAUGUGAUUUUUUGAACUAGAUUGAAUAAUGUGAGUAUUAAAUAAGUGCAGAUAUAAGUGUGAAUUUAUGAACAAUGUGCUCGAUAUUUAAUCGAACCUUUGGUAAGAUGAAAUGUAGUAAGUGAAAUUAUGAAAGAGUAAAAUUUACAACAAAACAGCUUUGGAUAGCAGUAGUCGUGUGAAUUUGAAAAAUCACUAAAAAUGAUAGAAAUUCAAUUAGAGGUUGAAUGAGAUAUGAAAUUAAAUCUUAUUGAGUCUAUUUUCACAUAAAAGAAACAGAGUAAACAAAAGAAUUGUAUAUUAUGAGAUAUUUGAAUUUUAGUGAGACAGGACUAGAAUGAUUUCGAAAUCCCCUGUUCUGACUUUGUAAAAUCAUUAAAAAUUGUACAGAAAUAAUUAUGGGCUAAACUUUAUGUUUUUAGAAUUAUGAAUAAGUUUAUUUUCAAAAGAAGCAAACAAGAACAUUAUCCGAAUUCUGUACAAUGAGAUAAUUAUUUUUUAGUGAAGAGGGGUCAGAACUGUCGAGCAGUGAAACAGGGGGAACUUUAAAGAAUAAAAUGUACUUAUUGAAUAAGACAAAAUUCUGAAAAUUUUAUGGUAAGAAUAUAUGUCAGUCUAGUUUUGGGAAAAAUUAACGAAUCUUAAUUUGGAGCUCUGUAUCUCGAGAUAUAAAUAAAUUAGUGACUCUGACUUAGAUAGACAGCUUGAAUUUACAUACAGGAAAAUAGUGAAAGUAUGGAUAAUGUUGUUUAAGUGUGUUAUACACAUUAAGGAUGUGGAAUGGAGAGGAGGAGGAGGAAAAUUGGAAAAAUAUAUGAAUGGUCAUGCAUUAUUGGUCAUAUGCUCGAUUAUAAUUGAUAAAUGAUGAAAUAGAAAUGAUGUUUAUAUUUGUGCAUUAUUGGUCAUGGUUUAAGCUGAUGUGGGAAAAUAAAGUUUCAUCGUAUGUAUGUAUGGUAUAUUUGGUAUAUGAUUUGGCAUGAAGUAAUGUCAUGAAUGGUUUAUGAAUUAACACAUGUCGGUAAGUUUACGAUAAAUAAAUGCAAUAAUUCAAUAAUUAUUAUUAAUGUUGUUAUUUUUCAGCAAUUAUGUAUUUAUUUCAUGGAAUUAUUUAAUGUUGACUCAAGUAUGAGAUGACAGAGAAUCAGUGAUAAAAUGUCCCGUUGAAAUAUUAGGAAUGUAUCGGAUACAAAUGUCAUGACAUUAAGGGAAUGAGAUCUCAUAUAAGACCAUGUCUGGGACAUGGCAUUGGCAUUAUUGAGGUUAUGAGAGGUCCCACGUAAGACCAUGUCUGGGACAUGGCGUUGGCACCGAGAUAAGAGGUCCCCCGUAAGACCAUGUCUGGGACAUGGCAUCGGCACCGAUAUGAGAACUCCCAUGUAAGACCAUACCAUGAGAACUCACAUUUUAUAAAUUAAGCGAGGAGAUGUUAUUGUGGGGACUUGAAUCUUAGAGUUUAAAUAUUAACACACAGCUCUUAACUACUUGCUCAAUUAGGGUAAAUAUCAUUAAUAAAUACUAAUAUCAACACGGAUGUUGGCAAUCACCACAGUUGGGUUGGGUGAAAAUCAAUAUGGAUGGAACGGUUGGGCGAAUGACUGAUAUAGAGGCAGCAGGAGGAGUCAUCAGAGAUCAUAAUGUGAAGUGGCUGCGAGGCUGUUGUACCAAUCUUGGUUCGUGUUCUGUGCUUCAUGCUGAGUUAUGGAGUGCUUGGAAGGGUUUCUUUCCGGCAUUGAAUUGCGGGUUUCACAGGGUGGUUUUAGAAAUGGAUAAUGUAAAAAUAUUGUGUUCUCAGGAGAAAGUAGAGCACAAUGCUAUAGUCAGGAGAAUAAGGAAUAUACCGAUUAGCCAUGGGAAGUGAAGAUGCAGCAUGUUGUUGGUGAGGGUAAUUUUAUUCCAGAUGGUCUUGUAAACCUGGGGCGACUGAAUUCGAAUCCAGAAACAUAUGAAUUACAUGAUGAAGCAUGCCAAAUUGGGUAGGGUAGGUGUCUAUCGAAAAAAACAGUAAAUUAGUAUUUAUACAUUUUGAAAUGUGUAAAUUAAUUCUCUAUUAAAUUUUAUCUAUUAAAUGAUGAUAUGAAAUGCUAAUUUAAAUGAUUUGUUUUCAAAUAUAUAAAAGCUACUUUCUCAUAUGAUAUUACUUAGUUCACAAAUGAGAUAGGACCCUUCACUAAUUUUGACUUUAAUAUACUGCACUCAUAGCUAUCCAUAUAUUAUAUUUUGCACUCACCUACUUUUUCAAGUUUUUAUUAAUCUUGUUAUAUACUUAUGAUCAUCAACCCUAAAACCAUAUAAGGUUCGGGUUGCCCAUCCGUGACCCGACUAGGGCCUACCAGAUGGAUACAUGCAAACCUCACAGUACAAAGUCAACAAUGGGAGCUCGCGAUCUCAGCUCGCAUAUGUCCACGAAGUGUCCAGCAGGCAGCCCAGAACAAUAUACAUGCCCAGUAUAUGUAUAGAGUCUAUUAAGAACGUCAAUUCCAUUAACAGUAGCUAUGUAUAUAAAUAUUCGAUUGUCCUCUUUAGUGAAACGUAACGAAAAAUUACUCAACAAAUCUAUUAAUAUGUUAUAUUGUUUUUUUUUUAAAUUGUUUUCCUGAUUUAAAUUUCAUUUCAGUAAUUUGAUAAGAGAUGUUGAAUUGGUCUCCGGUGCAUAUAUGCAUCGAUUGUAACAUUUAAAAGAUGAAAUUCCUUUCCUGUAAGAUUGAAGAUGUGAUUUUCCUUUUCUCUAAGAUAGACUGCAUAUUUGUUGAUUUUUUUUUUUUUCCUUCUUCUUGAAAUAAUAAAGAAAGAGAAGAAUGAAUUACCCUCUUUUAUUCUUUCCUUUAAUGCUGUGAGGGCUCAACCUAUUGGCUGGGAAUGGAAUCUAUACAAAUGUCUUUUAAUAGAAAAUUAUUUGAUUAUUUUUUAGUAGAGUGUUUAGAUUUUAUAAGUAAAAUUUUAAAUGUGUUAUAUGUCUUAUUAGGUGCAACAAGAUAAAAUAAAAAUUCAAUAAUUAAAAAAAUUAUGUUGUAGUGUUUGAGUAUUACUUUUGGAAUUAAAAUGGGGAUAUAUCAAAUUCUAACAGCACGUUUGGUUCGCUGUAAUGGAAUAGAGGUGUAAUGGAAUAGAGGCGUAAUAGGUAAUUCUUUUGUUUGGUUGAAUGGAAUGGAAUAGAGGUGUAAUAGUAUUCUUGUGUUUGGUUGAAUGGAAUAGAGGUGUAAUAGCAUAAGGAAAAAAACUAAAAUGACUAUAAUACCCUUAGCAGAAUUUUUUUUAGGUAGAUGAUUAUUGUUAUUGUUAUUAAAUUUUAAUAAGAUUAUUAAUAUAAAUAAUAAAUAAUUUAAUCAUAUUUUAACAUAAUUAUUAUUAAAUAUAAUUUAAUAAAAAUAUAUAAUUUAAUAAAAUUCUUAAUAUUAAAUAUUCUUAUAUGAAUUUACUAAAAUCGUAAUAUAUAAUAAUAUAAAAUAUAAUUUAAAAUAAUUAUUAUUAAAUUAUAUUUAAUAAUAAUAUAUAAUUUAAUAAAAUUCUUAAUAUUAAAUAUUCUUAUAUGAAUUUACUAAAAUCAUAAUAUAUAAUACUAUAAAAUAUAAUUUAAAAUUAUUAUUAAAUAUAAUUUAAUAAAAAUAUAUAAUUUAAUAAAAUUCUUAAUAUUAAAUAUUCUUAUAUGAAUUUACUAAAAUCAUAAUGUAUAAUACUAAAAUCAUAAUAUAUAUAAUUUAAUUUUUGAAUGAAUGCAAAUGAUUCACUGUGAAUGUUUCAUUCAUAAGAUCUCCCCUGCUAUAACUUCUUCCUAAAUAAAAAUUGAAAAACAAUAGCAAACAAAUAAUUCAAAGGAUUUUUUCAUUAAUUUUAUAAAUGUUAAUUGGGAGAAGCAACUCCAGAAAUCAUCAUAUGUUAUAAAUAAUUAAGCACUAAUUAUGAGCUAAACAAAGGAGCUUGAUGAUAUCCCAAUACACAGGUUUAUACAAACUUGAUAGCAAUCUUCCAUCAAAAGUGUACGGAUGAAGAUAAGAGAUGGUGACAUUUUGGUAAGAUAAAGGUUCCAGGACAGCUUAUCGCCCCAAAAGCGCAACACGAUCCUUCUGUACUGCCUGUGUCAGGUUGAUGUCAAAGAGUUCGAAUCGUAGAGGCAUCUCCAUCUCAUAGAAGGGGUUCUUCAAAACAUAAUCUGUGUAGAGCUCAUAAACAACUUUCAAGAGAGCCUCCAUGUGCUGUGUCCCAGGUUCACAAACUGCAAAGAACUUUGUCCCUGAAAAUCAUAACAUGCAUAUUUGCAAAAUCAACAGUGUAGAGAAUUCAUUGAGUGGUUAUUUAGAAUCCAUUUAAAGGAGAAAAUUCAUAUUUGUACAUGAGUUUGAAGAAGAUGAAGUAUAGAACUUAUGUCUUAUUAUCUUUAUGCAUAAGGAAAUACCAAUCUUGAUGCUUAAACUAAUAUGGAAGAAGAUGAAGUAUAGAAGGUUUUUGGAUAGUUUAUGCCACGUAUUAAAUAAGUUUCUCAAAAAAUAUGAAAAUUGUGAAGUCACUAAGAAUUCCAGCUGCUAUUGUCUGCCAUGCAUCAUCCAAAUCAAAGACAAACUCAGGUCAGUUUCCAUUAUCCAACACACUCUUGCUUUGUUUUACUGUUUCAUCUAAUUAGUUUCCAUUAUCCAAGGUUCACUAAUCCACUUUCAACUAAAUCUAAGGUAGAUAUUUUUUUUAAGUAAAAUUUAUAUAUCUUAAAAAUCAUUAAAAUUCCGGCCAUAAUUUUAAUUACUCCCCUUAAACAAAGUAGUUGAAACUUCCAUUAUUUUUGUGGUAGAAGGGAGGAUCUUUUCCCAUUAAUGAGUAAUCUAAGUGCACUCUUCAAGGUUACAAUGUAAAACAGUAUCUUCAUCUAAAGCAUAUUUCAAAAUCAAGAAUAAAGUUGCAAACAAUUGCAGUUAAAACUUUUUAAGGUAUGAGUGGCAUACAAGUUACAAACACUCUCAAGUGGCCUCAGGCAGGUAAUGUCUCCCUUAGGUUCGUUAAUGACAUGUGGGAGGCUAGUGGUGGAUUAUGAGCUUCAAAGAAUAUAUAAUUAUUGUGUUUUACAGCACAUCUCAUCACCAAAACCAUAAAACAAUCAGUUAGAAGUUUCAAUUACAAAAUAUACCCUUCAAUCACCAAAACCAUAAAACCAUAAAACAAUUUGUUUAACAAGUGAGACCAACUCAGUCAAAUAUGGAUAGAUAGGUAUUCAAAAUUAGAAGAAGUAGAAUCAACUCAAUAUCAAAACAAUAUCAUGUCUAAAUGAUAAAUUUAUGAAGAAACAAUAACCCAUUCCAAUAUAAUUUAAUUAACUAAGAUUUACUCGCACUAAGGUAAUCCCCAUUCAUCUCCAAUCACUCUCUCAAUAUAUUGUAACAAGGCCACUCUAAAGUGUACUUUGAUUUAAACAUUAGAUUAAGUUUGAAUAAAUAAAAACGUUCAACAAAAUCGAUAAUAAUAAUUUAACCCCACGAAAGUUCUUUUGUAUGGAUAGUUUUCUUAUUCAAGGGAAUGUAUCACUUGCUUCCAUUCUGUGAAUUCAAUGCAAUCCCCAAUCCUGUUUUCGCAAUCUAAAAACUCAUUUGGUAGUGUAUCAAAUGAUUUUCCUAAAAAUUUUCAUAUAUUUCUUUUCUUUUAUUUUUAUAUUUAAAUUAUAUUAAUUAAACUCAUUUGUAAAAUUCAAAAAUUUUAUUGUUAAUGUAUCAAAUAAUUACCCAUUUGGUAUUGAAAAAUCCUACAUCGGAUGGACCAUUAUCAAUUAAAAUUUCAAUUAUUAUUUUUGUAGACAAUUUUUUUUAAAAAAGAAAAAGAAAAUUUGCAAUCAAGUUAAGAUAUUAUCAUAUGUUUAUAAGUGUUAUAUAUAUAAUAUGUGAUAUUUUAAAUUUCGUUUAUAAAAUUUUAAAAAGUUAUAUUAAUGCAUGCGAUAAUAUCUUUAAAAUGUAAGGGUAAAAAAAAGGGAAUUAUUAAGGAGAUUCAAAUUAGCAAAACAAUCAACUUGUGUAGAAAAUGGGAAUUCACUAUUUGAACUUUAUAAGCCACUAAAACUUGGAAAGAUGUAUGGAAUUAAACGUGGAAUCACUUCGAAACCCCCAUUUUGAAAUAAUUUCAAGCUACACAUCAAUUACACUCAAAUAAAAUAAGAUUUCAUGUAUACAAUUUACUUAAAAUGUUGAUUUACAUUUUUAAGCCCGUGUCAAAAAUCAAGUCAAAAGUUAAAUUGAUGAAGUUCUGGAUCUAUUGAUUCAAGUUGAAUUAAUUAACUACGAGAAUUAAGUGAGAUGGUAAGAAUUUUUUUACCUUAAUCAGUAGUCGAGGAUUUGAUCCUCGUUCUGGGUAUAGAGCGGCUUUAAAACUCGUGGUCAAUAUUUACUUCAUUAAUUAGUUUACAAAAUGUGAAGAUUUAAUUACUGUACUCGCUCUAACAUAUCCUUUGAAAAAAAAAGUUGAAUUAGUUUAUUCAACUAAAUUUAAUAAACUUAAUAUUAAAUGAGUAAUAAAUAAGAAUGUACAAUUAAUUUAAUUUAACUUUUUAUUUUCGUUUGGUAUAUUUAGAAUUUUAAAAAUGUAUAUAAACGCACGCCCCAACAUUGCAAUUUUGUUAAUAAUGCUACCCUGUACGAAACCAUUUUUCUCAUUCUCAAACUAAAUUAUUAUGAUUUGAGUGGGUAUAGGAUGAAUAUCUUUAAUUAAUGAGCUGUUGAGAUUUAAUUUGUUGAUGUGUAUGAAAUUAAUUUUUUUUUAAAUAAGGUAUAUUCGUGUUUGUUUUGUAGUGUAUGAAAAUUAACUUUUUUAAUAUUCAUGUUUGUUCCUCUUAAUAAUAUUAUCACUAAAGAUGACAAUCGGGUGGGGUGUUUUUUUGUCCGCCUCAACCACAACUCUUAAGAAAAAAAAUUCCACCCCAAACCUAAACCCAGAAUUUAAUAGGAGAUCUAACUCUGAACUGGCCCGACUUGACUAUUUUUCUAAUUUCACUCGAUAUGACUUGCAUCGAACUUGAUUUUUGAAAAUAAAAUUCGACAGAUCAAGUCAAGUCAAAACCCGUUAAAUUCAAGGUUCUUUUGUCAUCCCUAACCAUCAUCAAGGCGAAGACAAGGGGAAAAUAGUGCGCCAAAAAAGAAUAAUAAAUUUAUCAUUUAAACCCUUUAACAUUUAAAAAAUUUUAAGUCAAUAUAAUGAUAAAAAUACAUUUUAAUCUCAAAAAAUUAUGACUCAACUCUAUACUUUAAAAUAUUUUUUUGGGUUCACCCUCGAGUCCAACCAUUCGUACUACUUAGUAACAUAUAUUAUAGAAACGUAACAAAUUAAUCUCUCCCAUCACUACAUGCACAUAAGUGCAUUCACUAUUCCAUGCAAUAUCUCAUAUGUCACAUGCAUAAUACUUACGAACCAGGACCAUCAUCUUUUCUAUAUAAAGGAUCCUCCACCUACAAACAUUCCACACACAAAACAUUAUCAUGGAAUCCUUAAAGAAUAUCGUUUUUCUCAUCGUUGCUAUAUCUCUAGUUCUUCAAGCCACGGUGCCUCCAACUGCGUUAGCCGCUCGUAACGAGGUUAUGUCCUCUGCCGCUGUAUCGAAAGUGGCUAAUGAUUCCAACGGUUUGGCUAAGGUUUUCCAGAAGGUAGGCCCUGGCUGCAAACCUAUAGGUUCGUUUUGCUUGUUUGACCUAACCAGUUGCUGUAGGCCUUGCGGAUGCCUUGCAGGGUUUUGCUAUAACCUUGAUCAUAAUUGCAAUGAGUACACAUAAUGGUCACUACUGAGUUAAAAAAAAGAAGAAGAAGCUUUGAGUCAAAAAACGACGUGGGAUUCAAUUAUAAAUGUUCUAUAUAUAACAUAUGUAUUUGAAUAAAGAAUCUCGUGUUAUGUCCCUGUUUGAUUGAUCUCUGCCAUUGUUGUAAGUGUUGAUGUUUUUCGUCUUCUUAUUGGUGUGUUGGUAUUGUGUGUACCCUUGUUAUUGGCAUAUGUAAUGAUAACUAAGUUUAUGAGUAUUUACCUAUUUUCUUUUAUGUAUAAUAAUUUGAUACUAAUUUUGAUUUUUACAAAACAAACUUUUUUUAUGCACACUUUUAACAUGAUUUGGUAAAUGUUAAAACUUUUUUCAUAAAUAAAUCUAAUAAAAAAAUUUCAAGUAAAUAAAAAAUAAUGAAUAAUCUUUAUGAGAAUGGAUUGCCUAAAGAUGUGAUUUCACAUCAUCCUGAUACAUUUAUAAUAGGAGAAUUGACAAAUUAAAUUUUAUUCUUGAUUUUUAGCUUUUUCCUCCUAACAAUUUUUUUUUUGAAAGAAAACCCGAAGGUUAAAACUUUAUUUAAUCGCAUCAUUAAGAACAACAUCGUGGAUUUCCGUCGGAAAAUCCAUGUUAAAGUCCAUACAGCUUUUGUUAAGGUUUGCCCAUUUACACAGGGCAUCAGCAACUCUGUUACAACACCUUGGGGCCCAUUUAACCGUAAAGAAAUUGAAACCAACUGUGAGCUUCCGAAUUUCUUUCAACUGGUGACCCAUCAGGGUCAAGUCCUCCUUACUGCUGUUGAAACGGUUAACAAUACUUGCGCAAUCUGGCUCAAUUGCCACGCGCUUCCAGUUUUUGGAACGGGCGUAAUUGAUACUCACUUCCAUGGCAUGCGUCUCCGCCCACUCAAUACUCGAAACAUUGUUAGACAUGCCCACACGCCCCCCCAAGAACGAAACCAUCUGUAUCCCUUGCCACCAGACCGUACCACCCCGUAUUCUCAUGGAUAGUAGCAUCGAAAUUAAUCUUGAUAACUCCUGACUCAGGUUUCUGCCAAUCCCUUUCCACAAUAGGCUUAGGUAUCAUCGGCCUGUCCAACAGAUUAAAGAUACGAAAAUCCCUAUUUAAAGCCGCAGCCCUGUCCCAUGUCACCUUGGCAUCCUCCUCAAUAUUACGAAAAACUUUGCUGUUUCUACUAUUCCAAAUAUUCCAGAGGGUAGAAAUAAAAUCCGACAUAGCCUUCUUCUCCAUCACGCGGGCAGCAUCCUCGAUCCAGUCCACGCACCGGUCAUAAGUACCCUCGAACAGCUUUUGAUUUAACCCCCUAUAGCGCAGCACUGCCCUAGCCCUAGGGCACUCUCUCAAAGCGUGAACAAGGGUUUCCCUCUCAACACCACAUCUCGGGCACAUACUGUUGAAAUCCCUCCGUAUUCGAGAGAUAUUUUCAUAAGUAGGCAGAAUGUCAUGCCCCAAGCGCCAGCAGAAAAUCUUAAUUUUUGGCAAGGUUUGCAGUUUCCAAGUAAGGUUCCAGAAAAAACGGUGGGGGCCGAAGCCCACAUUCUUCAAAGUCAACCAUCCUCCUAACAAAUUUAAAUACAACUAAAAAUGCUAAAAAUCAAGAGAAAAAAUAUGAUUUAUUAUUUUCUUAUCCGAAACAUAAAGAUAAUGUGAAGUUACAAUUUUAUACAAUCAUUUUAUAACAUUUUUCUAACAAACAAUUUAAUCGUCUUACUCAAUUUUAAGUAUAAAACAUUUAUUUUAUAUUAUAAAAAAUUAAAAUUAAUUAUUCGAUUCGAUUCAGGGUUUUAACUUGAAAACCAAAACGAGUGAGUAGUAGCCUACUAGAGUAUAUCCAAUUAGCAAAUCAACACUAGUUUAUACGUGCUUCCUUUUGAACCGCUUCGAAAUCAGCUCCAAAAAACUGCUAGAGGCUCGAGCAACAUAAAAACCUCAAAAAAAUUAUAGAGCUGAAAAGCAAAAAAAAUGCACCGUUUCAGAGGCAGGUGAGCUGAAAAACCAGCAGCUGAAAGGGACAAACCCGUCACGUGCAGCUCUCCAAUAGCAGGUCAUGGAGUUCAGUGAAGAAAAACCACAGCAGGCAUAAGCAGCACAAAACCAGACCCAAACAGCUCAAAAAACAGAGUUGAAACAGUUGAUUAGACCCAAACCAGCUCGAAUCAGUAGCACCGUUUUCUAUAUAAAGGGCCUCCUCCACCUACAAACCAUUCCACACACAAAACAUAAUCAUGGAGUGGUGCAAGAAGUUUGCUUUUCUGAUGUUUGCAAUGGCUCUACUUCUUCAAGCCAUGGUGCCUCCGACAGCAUUAGCUGCUCGUAACAAUGUUAUGGAAUACAAUCCAUUGGCAAGCAUAGUCUCGAGGGAAGGCCCUGGCUGCAUCGCAAAAGGCGGGUUUUGCUUGUUUGACCUAACCAGUUGCUGUAGGCCUUGCGGAUGCCUUGCAGGGUGGUGCUACAACAUUGAUCAUGAUUGCAAUGAGUACGCAUAAUGGUCGCUACUGAGUUAAAAAAAAAAAACAGCUCCAAGUCAAAAAAAUGACAUGGGAUUCGCAUCCGUUUAUAAAUGUUCUAUAUAUAACAUAUGUAUUUGAAUAAAGAAUCUCGUGUUAUGUCCUUGUUUAGUUGAGCUGUGCCAUUGUUGUAAGAGUUGGUGUUUUCCGUCUUCUCGUUGGUGUGUUGUUAUUGUGUGUACCCUUGUUAUUGGCAUGUCUAAGAAUAAAUAUAUAUGUCAAUCAACUAAGUUUUAUGAGUAUUUACCUGCCUUUUUUAUCUAAUUCAUGGACGGAUCACAUUUUAUAAAUUAAGCGAGGAGAUGUUAUUGUGGAGACUUGAAUCCUGGACUUUAAAUAGUAACACACAGCUCUUAACUACUUGCUCAAUUACGGUAAAUAUCAUUAAUAAAUACUAAUAUCAACAUGGAUAUUGGCAAUCACCACAGCUGGGUUGGGUGAAAAUCAAUAUGGAUGGAACGGUUGGGCGAAUGACUGAUAUAGCGGCAGCAGGAGGAGUCAUCAGAGAUUAUAAUGUGAAGUGGCUGUGAGGCUGUUAUAGCAAUCUUGGUUCGUGUCCUGUGCUUCAUGCUGAGUUAUGGUGCUUGGAAGGGUUUCUUUUCGGCAUUGAAUUGCGGGUUUCACAGGAUGGUUUUAGAAAUGGAUAAUGUAAAAAUAUUGUGUUCUCAGGAGAAAGCAGAGCACAAUGCUAUAGUCAGGAGAAUAAGGAAUAUACGGGUUAGCCAUGGGAAGUGAAGAUACAGCAUGCUGUUGGUGAGGGUAAUUUUAUUCCAGGUGGUCUUGUAAACCUGGGGCGGCUGAAUUCGAAUCAGAAACAUAUGAAUUACAUGAUGAAGCAUGCCAAAUUGGGUAGGGUAGGUGUCUAUCGAAAAAAACGGUAAAUUAGUAUUUAUACAUUUUGGAAAGUGUAAAUUAAUUCUCUAUUAAAUUUUAUCUAUUAAAUGGUGAUAUGAAAUGUUAAUUUAAAUGGUUGAUUACUAAUUCCUUUUUUAUUGUAAGAAACUCAAAAAAUCAAAAUUAAUUCUCAUGCUUGAUUGAAAUCAUAAAUAAAUAAAUAAAAACUUGAUUGAACCCAAGAAAAAUCAACUAAAAGUUUUGACUACUCAUUUUCAAAUUUCUCAUACUUUUGUAAAUAUUCAUUUAAUCUUCGUCGCCUAUGCUUCCAACUAAAAUGUAUAUAAAAAUUUAUUUAAUGUUUACUUUCUUCUACUUUAGUGAAUACUCGUUUUUGCAUCUCCUAUGCUUUCAUAUCUCCUAAUGAUGUAUAAUCAUGUUAUAAAAUUUCAAUUACUCAUUUUCACAUCCCUUUAGCUAUUACAAACUUUCCUAUUUAAAAAAUCUUAUUGUUUUAUACCCUAGAAGCUUUAAUCUUUAAGUUAUUGGGUUUUUAAUUUUUAAUAUAAAUGUAUAGAUUUUGAACAAUUUGAAAUUUUUGAAAAUAAUAUUUUAAAUUUAUAAGAAGAAAUAGAAUAUAAAAAGUGAAAAUUUAAUUUAAAAUAAAAUCCUAUUGCCAUUAACAUGUCUCCAAAGGUGGAGAAGGAGUGAAAGGAGUCCUUUGUCUUCAUCUUAUUCUUCUUCGCUAAAAAGAUAUGCAAAAUUGAAAGAUUUUAUUUUCCUGUAAAUGUGUUAUUUCUUUGGUUUGAUUGUAUUUCAACAGUAAUAAAAUUAUUAUUUUAUUGAAAUAGGUGUUUUUAGAAUUGCACUCGAGUGCAUCUUCAACAGAUAAUGUUAGUGUUUCAUUGUAUUGGAUAGUUCUACUUCUCAUCAAAUCAAGAAUUUUAUUGAAAAUGAAAAUGUUUCCCUAGCAUUAAAAUAGUGUUCAAUUUUUCAAAAAAAUAAAAAAUAAUAAUAACACCAUAAUUCACCAAAAAAGAACUUUGAACGUAAGUUUUUGCUUUAAUAAAUUUGGGUUUGAUUUUGUUUAUUGUUUUAAUAUUUUUAAUAUAUUUUGAUAAUUUUUAUUUAUUUUUAAUUUUUAGAAUUAUUGUUAAGAAUUUUUUAAAUAAAAUCAAAAUAAUAUUUUAACUAUAUUUCAAGGACCAAAUUAGUAAUUAACCAUUUAAAUUAAUAUUCUAAAUCAUCAUUUUUUCAAUAGAAUGGCCAAAAUGCAAUCCACUGCUUUUUAUCAAAUUUAAUACUUAUUAAGAUUCAUUUUAAUUUUAGUCUUCAGCUGCAUGAAGGGAUCUAUUAAAAUAAUGUUAUCCCACUUAUUCUAAAUUUUAAAUUUCACGUAACCUUAUGAUUUUAUAAGUUGUAUGAUUUAACCUAGACUCCAAAGAAAAGAGAGAAGUUUGAUGUAUCAAGACUUCCAACCACUAUGUCAUGCAAGUCACGUAAUUUGUCAUGCAAUCCAUAUGCUUAUAUAUGCUUUUUUUUUCUUUUAAUUUUUUUGCUAAGCCACUAAUAUAUGUUCAGUAUUUCUAUUUAAAGCACCUCCAUUUAUACAUUUCCAUCAAAUUUAUGAUCAGAUUUAACACUAAGAAAUGGAGUACUGCAAGAAGCUUGCUUUGGUGUUGGCCAUGAUGGUUGUGGCAGCCACCACAACGGCAACCGCGGAUCGCAACGAGCUGACGGAAACUCUUUCCAUCGAAGCAAUUGUUGGAACUCGAGCUUGACUAACAUCAUCAAGAACCCUUUGGGCAAUAUUUUCGACGUUAAUGGCGAACCUGUAGUGGAAUGCAACCCUGAUGAUCAAAACUGCAUUAAAAACUAUGGAUUUUGCUUGUUUCAGAACAAGAUUUGCUGUGAUGACUGCACGUGCUUCGGGUUGUGCGUGCUUUGCAGACAAAAAUAAAGACAGUGGCUGAUCAGGAAGGGAUCUCAGGAAUCAAUGUUUUAUUGUCUUUCUUUUUAUACCUAACUAUGGUGCUGGUACUGUUUUCAUGUUUUGUUGAUGUUUGCGGACUUAAAUUAUCAAUAAGAUCGCAUUUAUUAAAACUUAAGUAUUUUUCCUCAGCUAUAUAUAUAUUUGCUGGGAGAAGGCUUACUCCGGAACCUCAACGGGUCGGUAUGAUCUCAAGUCUGAGGUUUUUUUUUUCUGUAAAAAGCACAAGUGUUUAAGGCAUUAGAUUCAUAGAAGCUUAUCGAGAUCAAAUCAUAUAUAGCGCACAGCCGCCUAUCAAAAGAUAUAUAAGCAUUUUAUUUAUAAUAGGGUUUGAACUUUUACCCUUAAAUGAUAACAAAUAGGGGUGAAGUAGAAAACUUUUUUAAGGGUCGAAAUAAGGGUAUUUUAUAAAAAUAAUAUAAAAAAUAAAAAAAUAUUAAAAUAGUAUAACAUUUUUUUUAUUAACUAAAAUGGUACAAAAAAAACAGUUAAAAAAAUGAAAGAAGGGCCUGCCACAGGCGGCACAUUUGGUGCUGUGGCAGAAGCGGCACCAAUUUUUCGUAUUUCGGCCUUUUGUUCGUAUUUUUUUUCGGAUUUUAUUACUUUUAAAAAUAUACUAUUUUCUAAUUUUUUCAUUUUAUAUUAUUUUAGUACAUUAUGUUUGAAAUGUAUUAAUUUAGUGUGUGUUUUUUAUUGAAAGUAAUAAAAUCCGAAAAAAAAUACAAAUAAAUGGUCGAAAUAAGGAUUUUUUUAAAUUUAUUUAAAACACACACUAAAUGAAUACAUUUCAAACAUAAUGUACUAAAAUAAUGUAAAAUAAUAAAAUUAGAAAGUAGUAAAUUUUUUAAAAGUAAUAAAAUCCGGAAAAAAAUACGAACAAAGGGCCGAAAUAAAGAUUUUUUACUAAAUUUAUUUAAAAAACACAAUUAAUUAAUACAUUUCAAAUAUAAUGUACUAAAAUAAUAUAAAAUAAUAAAAUACAAAAAUAAUAUAUUUAUAUUGAAAGUAAUAAAAUCCGGGAAAAAAUACGAACAAAUGGCCGAAAUAAGAGUUUUUUUUAAUUUAUUUAAAAAAACACACUAAAUGAAUACAUUUCAAACAUAAUGUACUAAAAUAAUGUAAAAUAAUAAAAUUAGAAAAUAGUAUAUUUUUUUAAAGUAAUAAACUCUUUGGGAAAAAAUACGAACAAAGGGCCGAAAUAAUGGUUUUUUUAAAAUUUAUUUAAAAAAACACAGUAAAUUAAUACAUUUCAAACAUAAUGUAAUAAAAUAAUGUAAAAUAAUAAAAUACGAAAAUAAUAUAUUUUUAUUGAAAAUAAUAAAAUCUGGGAAAAAAUACGAACAAAGUGCCGAAAUAAGAAUUUUUUUAAUUUAUUUAAAAACACACUAAAUUAGUAUAUUUCAAACAUAAUGUACUAAAAUAAUGUAAAAUAAAAAAAUAGAAAAUAGUACAUUUUUUAAAAGUAAUCAAAUCCGAGAAAAAAUACGAAAAAAAGGCCGAAAUAGGAACAAUUGGUGUCGCCUCUGCCAUAGGCACCAAAGGUGCCGCCUGUGGUAGGCCCUUCUUUCAGUUUUUUUUUUAACUGUUUUUUUGUACCAUUUUGGCAAAUAAAAAAUGUUAUACUAUUUUGGUUUUUUUUUGUAUUAUUUUUGUAAAAUACCCUCGAAAUAAAAUUUUAAUUCUUAAUAGUCUAUAUCUUCAUAAUUUUUAAAUGAUUAAAUUAAAUUUUCAUAAUUUUAGGGGAGCUAAAUGUACAAAUUUACCUUUACUAAUUUAAAAUUUUAAAAUUUUUUAAAAAAGCCAAAAUAAUAUUUUUUUCAUUUUAGGGGGACCGGGGCACCUGCCAACCCCCUAGAUUCGUCUCUAAUAACAAAAGGUAUUUAUGUCCUGCUCUUACUAAAGUUGAGAGACAAAAUUCCAACUUAACUUAAAAACGAUACUAAUUAAUUUAUUAAAAAAAUUUACAAGUCCAUACAAAAUACACUUUAAAAACUUUUCUGAAAAGUUCCAUCUCUAUUCAAUAGUAUUACGAUUACUAAGAUAUAUUUAUUAAUUUUAUUAUUUCUAUGUCAUUUAUCUAGGGAUCAAACUGCCUACUCAAUUCGUACAAUAUAAGCACUUCACCUUCUUCUUUUUUAAUUUGAGAGAUAUUAAUCAAACCCAAAUUACUAUUUCAUAAUUAAAAUAUUUUUAUUUAAGUUUAACUAUAAAUUAUAUAAAUAUUAACAUUACAAGCCAUAUCCAAUUAUGAAAUGAUUGAGAUAUAUGUGUUGAAACACUGACCGGUUUGUUUCUAUAUUUGUGAUAUUGACAAUUUAUUGAAUCGGAUUUUUUAACUAUGCUAAUAUUGUAGAUUGUAUCUAUUGCAUCAAUGAUGAUCGUAUCACUUGGGGAAACAUAUAUAUUUGGAGAAUCAGAUCGGAUUUAAUCUAUUUAAUCCCUUAGAUUGAGGAAAUUGGAUCAGAUUGGAAUGUUAAUUAAAGACUUAAGUUCCAAUAGUCCUUGUUUACCUUAUUUAUUAUUAUUCUAUUGUAUUCAACUAGUUUAGUUAUUAUUUAAUAAGGAUUGAUAUAGAUCUUCAUUAUGUUAACAAGUCUCGAUACACUACAUAUAUUUGAGAGACUUGUAUAGAUCAUUGUACUGAUUAUUGAGAGCGCACUUCAUCUCCUGAAGUGAGGAACAUACUUUGUGUGAAUGCAUCUCAUUGUAAAACAUGGAUGUUGUAGUUUUACAAGCUAAGUUCAUAGGGGUGAAUGAGAGUAUCAAUCUUAAAGGUACAAAAGUAUAAUUUUUAAAGGGUUAAAUCAAUUUAUUAUCAUUUUAGAGACUCAAAGUACAAUUUUACUAUUAUUAAUUUAAAAUUUAUAAAUUAUUUAGAGCCUAAAUUAAAAUUUUACUAUUUUAGAAGAAACCAUGACCCCUGGAUCUCCACUACACUCCGACGCUGAUGUCACAUCUCUUAAAAACAUAGCAAAUAAUAUGUUAUUAUUGAUAAUAUUUAUCAUUGCAACAUCAACAAUACAUGACCACAGUAACAAGAGUAAAUACCAAGUCUUUUUACGACAAACAAAAGGCAAUUAGCAUUUACCUCUUUUGAAAACUAAGUAAUUAGAUUAUUUAACCAGACAUGAAACACAAUAAAUAUCAUUAUUUAGCUGUAAAAACCAUUUGAUUAAUGAGACACCUCCUUCAUCAUUUUUUCUUAUACAAUAUAAACAAUUACAUUAUGCGGGGAUGCACAGUCCGAAGCAUGUGCAAUUACCACAACAUUCCUUUUCCGCAAACAAGCAAAACUCAUACUUAGGGAUGCAAUUCGCAUCAGGUUUUCCUUUAACGUCGAAAAUGUUGGCCAAAGCGGUGGUUGAGCUUGAGUCGACGAGGAAAGCCACUGCCUCUUUGCGAGCGGCGGUUGCCAUUGGAGGCGGGGUGGUUGCUAGGACCAGUGCCAUCGUAACCAAGACGACUCCAAAUUUCUUCCACGAUUCCAUCUUUAAUUCUAUGUGUAAAUUGAUAGAAACGGGGCUGCUUUAUAUAGAAAUGCCCAAAAUAUUUUAGUGGCUUACCAAAUAAAAAUAAAAAUCAUAUGGAUUGCAUGACAAAUUACGUGACUUGCAUGGCUGACAAGCGAAUGGAAAUUUUGAUACACAUCCACCAUUUCUCUCUCUCUCUCUCUUGUUUUUCAUAGUUAUUCUUAAACAUCUAACUUAAAAUUUUUAAAUGGUUAAAAUAUACUCUAGGUCCUUAUACUUUUGCAUAUUCAAAAUUUAGUCCAUUCUACUUUUCAAAUUUUAAAAAAUGUAAGUGCAAUUGUUGACACAAUUAAAAUUCUUCUAUUAAAUUCAAGUUCACUAUAAAGUCUUUUUUUUUUUGUUGCAUGGCUAUUGAGUGAGUAUUUCUUUCAUUUCAAAAUGUCACACUAGAAAAUUUAAUAGAAGAAUGUUAAUAGUGUUAACAAAUUAGAUUUGAAUUUUGAAAUCUGAAAAGUAAAAUGACUAUAAAUUCUUAGAAAUAAAAGUAGGUGGGCUAAAUUCCAAAUAUAUAAAAAGUACGAGGAUUUGCAGUAUAAUUUAACCUAUCUAAAAUAAAUUGACAAUAAGUGAAUAUAUAAAUGUAAAUAAGACAUUAGUGAUGUAAAAUACUUGAGUUCAAUUUGAAAGAAAAAAAUCUUAAAUUUAAGGGUAAAUUACAUCCAAACUCACUAAAAUAUUAGUAAGUUCACAUUUUCAUCACUCAACUUCAAAAAGUUACAAAAUGACCACUAAACUAUUCGAAAGUUUUUAUUGAUCAUUGCGCUAUCAAUUUUUUUUUUUAAAGUUCAGCUAGCGAGCUCCAAGCAACAAUUCAACGAUUAAUACAGUGAAUCAGUACUCGUCAAUGAGUAGAAGAACAUACCUUAGAUCUAAUUCAAUUUGAUGAUCAGUGUCGGAGAUCUUAGAAGAAAGUUGUUUGGAUUUUGAUUCGUAGAUUUAUAAUGUUCAAAGCUGUUGAAUGAAAAAAAACUGAAUUGUAGAAGAGAAAGGAAAAGAAAGCUUUCGAUUGGUGCAAAUAAUGUAAAAAGAGAAUGUCAUAUAACAACGAUUUUAACAACUCGGUGACUUAAAUAAAAACUUUCAAAAAAUUUAGUGAUCAUUUUGUAACUGUUUAAAGUUAAGUGAACAAAAUACUCUAAUAAAUUUAGAUGCAGUUUACUCUAAGUCUAACUAUAUCAUUAUUAAGUUGAGCAUGUAAUUAGUUUGUUAUUUUAAAAAAAUCAUAGCCACGAGGCAAACAUUGGGAAUAAAAUUGUAAUUCCCACUAAAGCAUUGCGUAGUAGCAGGAGAGAUGAGUUUCCUCUCCCAAAUUUGGACUCAAAUUGUGUAAUCCCAACAUAUAUAGAUCACGUUUAACCAUCAGACAAACGAUUCUUUCAUUAUUUUUUAUACAUUUUUGGUGUAAUUAAUAUUAAUAUAUUAAAUUCAAAUAAGAAAAGACUUUAUUAUUAUUAAAAUAUAAAUUUAAUUUGAGUCAAUUAAAAUUUAUAAAACUUUUAUUUUACGAUUUUUUAUAAUUUUAAAUAUAUCUAACCAGUAUAUUUUAAUAAAAGAAUGUAAAUUUAAAAUUUAAAAAUCAUAUCAUUGAAAAGAAAAAUUACAAAAGGCAGUAAAAUAAGUUUAGAGUACACUAAAAAGACAAAAGGCAUUUAACAUUUAGGUUUAUUGAAACAAGUAAUUAAAUUAUUAAACCAGCCAUGAAACACAAUAAAGAUCAUUAUUUAGCUCCCCUCCUUCAUUUAAGUAAUAACGUCGGGAUGCACACUCCGUAGCAUGUGCAAUUACCACAGCAUUCCUUUUCUGCAAAUAAGCAAAACUCAUACUUCGGGACGCAUUCGGCAUCAGGAUUUCCUUUAACGUGGAAAAUGUUGACCAAAGUGGUUGUUGAGCUUGAGUCAGCGGGGAGAGCCACCGCCUCUUUGCGAGCGGCGGUUGCCAUUGGAGGCAUGGUAGCUGUCAGGAGCACCGCCAUCGUAACCAAGACGACACUAAAUUUCUUCCAGGACUCCAUCUUUAAUUUUGUGUGUAAAUUGAUGGAAACGUUAUACAAAUGGAGGUGCUUUAUAUAGAGAUGCCCAAAAUAUUUUAGUGGCUUGCCAAAUAAAAAUAACAAAAAUCAUAUUAUAAACAAGUGGAUUGCAUGACAAAUUACGUGACUUGCAUGGAAGACUAGUGAAUGGAAAUUUUGAUACACAUCCACCAUUUCUCUCUCUCUCUUUUCUUAUAGUUUUUCUUAAACAUCUAACUUAAAAAUUUUGGGUUAAUUAUACAAAUAGCCACCAAACUAUGCACAUGUUCCUAUUUUGGUCACUCAACUUUAAAAAUUUUCAAUUUAGACACUAACGUUUGAAUUCGUUCCUAUUUUGGUCACCAUCUAUUAAAUUGAUAAUGAUAUAACCGGUAUAAUAACAAAUUCAACCCUCAAUAUAAUUAUAUAUUCUAUUGAUUUGAUCCUAAUUCUAAAUAAUUCAAUAAUUUUAACCCUUUACAUUUACAAAUUCCAUCAAUUUGAUCCUCAAACUUCCUAACCAAAGCUUCCAGCUUUUAAAACAAAGGCAUUCCACAUCUAUAAAUUUGUAAAACCCCAAAAAAUGGGAAACAAAACUUCUUUUUUGGGUUUUACAAAUUUAUAGAUGUGGAAAGCUUUAGUUAGAAAGUUUGAGGAUCAAAUUGAUAGAAUUUAUAAAUUUGAAGGGUUAAAUUCAUUAAAUUAUUAAUAAUUAGGAUCAAAUUGAUAGAGUAUGUGAAUAUUGAGAACUAAAUAUGUUAUUAUACGUGUUAGAUAGCUAUCAAUUUAAUGGUGGGUGACCAAAAUAGGAACAAAUUCAAACGUUAGUGCCUAAAUUAAAUUUUUUUAAAGUUGGGUAACCAAAACAUGAAUGCGGACAUAGUUGGGUGACCAUUUGUAUAGUUUACCCUAAAAUUUUUAAUAGGUUAAAAUAUACUUAAUGUCCUUGUACUUUUUGCAUAUUUGAAAUUUAGCCCAUUUUACUUUUUAGAUUAAAAAGUGUAAGUGUAAUUGUUGAACCAAUUAAAAUUCUUCUAUUAAAUUCAAAUUCAUUACAAAGCCUUUUUUUUUUGUUACAUGGCUACUAAGUGAGUAUUUCUUUUAUUUCAAAAUGUCAACCUAGAAAAUUUAAUAGAAGAAUGUUAACAGUGUUAACAAUUAGAUUUGAAUUUUAAAAUCUGAAAAGUAGAAUAAUUAAAUUCUUAGAAAUAAAAGUAAGUGGACUAAAUUCCAAAUAUAUAAAAAGCACGAGGACUUGCAGUAUAAUUUAACCUAUCUAAAAUUAAUUGACAAUAAGUGAAUAUAUAAAUGUAAAUAAGACAUUAGUGCUGGUAAAAUAUUCAAGUUCAAUUUGAAAGAAAAAAUCUUAAUUUAAGGGUAAAUUGCAUCCAAACUCACUAAACUAUUAGCAAGUUCACAUUUUGGUCACUCAACUUCAAAAAGUUACAAAAUGGCUACUAAACUAUUCAAAAGUUUUUAUUUAAGUGAUCAUUGUGCUGUCAAAUUCCUUUUUUAAAGUUCAGCUAGCGAGCUCCAAGCAACAAUUCAACGAUCAGUACAGUGGAUCAGUACUCAUUACUGAGUAAAAGAACAUAUAUUAGAUCCAAGUCGAUUUGACAAUCAAUAUCAUAGAUCUUAAAAGAAAGUUGUUUGGAUUUUGAUCCGUAGAUUCGUGAUCUUCAAAGCUGUUGCAUGAAAAAAAAAUUGAACUAUAAAAGAGAAACGAAAGGAAAGCUUUCAAUUAGUGCAAAUAGUACAAAAAGAGAAUGUCAUAUGCUAAUGUUUUAACAAUCUAGUGACUUAAAUGAAAACUUUCGAAUAAUUUAAUAAUCAUUUUAUAAUUUUUUAAAAUUGAGUGAUCAAAAUGUAAAAUUACUAUUAAUCUAAUAAAUUUAGAUAUAAUUAACCCUAAAUUUAACUGAAUUAUUAUUGAGAUUGAGUUGGAUUGCUGGAAUAUAUAAUUAUUUUGUUAUUUAAAAAAAUCAUAGCCACGAGGCAAACAUUGGGAAUAGAUGACAAGAUCGCAUGGGGAUAUAAUAACAAUAAUAAUAAAAGUUGGUUUUUGCAUAAAAUUGUAAUUCCCACUAAAGCAUUAAUGCGUAGAACCACGAGCGAUGAGUUUCCUUUCCCAAUUUGGACUCAAAUUGUAAUCCCAAAACUAACCAUGCCAUUGCCAUGAUGUCUACCAACAUAGAUCACCUUUAACCAUCCAACUAACGUUUCUUUCAAUAUUUUUUAUACAAUUUUGGUGUAAUUAAUAUUAAUAUAUUCAUGUUGCCAAGUUAUUUUUCAUAUAUUAAAUUCAAAUAAGAAAAUACUUUAUUAUUAUUAAAAUAUAAAUUUAGUUUGAAUUAAUUUUAAUUUAUGAAUGUAGGUUCCUACUUUAGAGGAUAAUGUUUUGACGUUAUUCAAAUUGCUGUGAGCAGGUAUAUACCUGUUGAUGAGAAGAUUUGGCAUUUUAGGAGACUAUGUGAAGUCCGGCUAUUUGCUUGCUACAAGGUCGUUUUCUCGACUUGACCUUUCGUUUGAUUUCGGUCCUUGGUUGAAACUUUGGAAUAGUUCUCUUCCCCCAAAGAUUAAAGAUUUUGUUUGGAGGUGCCUCAAAGACUUUGUGCCGUGUAUACAUAAUCUAUCACUAAAGGGGGUGCCUCUUGAUCGAUCCCUCUUGUGCUAGAUGCGGCUCUGUCGAAAGUCUAGAUCAUGUGUUUUUCAUUGUCCUAUGGUUGCACUCGUAUGGCAACUUAGUGGCAUUCAACGAAGAGGUGACAGUGCAUGGGUGUUCUUGUUUAAUAUUUUAGAAAGUGGCGACAAUGAUCUGAUGGAGAAAGGCUGUGCGAUAGUUUGAAGUAUUCGGUUUUUCAGAAAUGCUUAUGUUUGGUGCAAUCUGAAUUCCUCUGCUACGCAGUUAUUGCUAACUUUUGCUUUGAACUAUUUACAGGAUUGGAAGGAUGCAAAGGGGCGGUGGAAACUUAUCGCCAGGCAAUAAAUGGAUGCCGCCUGAGGAGGGCUGCUGGAAAUGCAACACUGAUGUCGCUACCGGACAUAUGAAUAAUGGCUGGGGUUUCGGUGCAAUUGUGCGGAAUGAAAGAGGCGAGUAUAUCACAGGGAUUUUCGGCCGAAUUGAGCCGGUGGAGCAGCCGAUGUUGGCGGAAGCCCACGCUAUUAAAGAGGUCCUCUCAUGGUUGGACUGCGGCUUCGACAAUGUGAUUUUGGAAACUGAGUAUCAUGCCUUGGUCUCGAGGGAACCCGACAAUUUAGAGUUUGGUGUUGUAGUUGGUGACUGCAUUAGUCUUAAUAAUCUUUUCAAUUAUGUGACUUUUAAUUGGAUGUGCAAAGAUGCUAAUAAAGCGGCUUAUGGAUUGAUUAGGAUAGCUUUAUUUCAUGCUCAACCGCAUAUUUAGAAUUUAGUCCCACCUACUCGCAUUUUGCUUUAUGAUUCGGCACUAACAAGGGGGAGCCUGAUGGUCCGGGUUAAUUUUCUGUCUAUUACUAGCUGGCUUGCUCUGUUAUGCUUUCUUUAAUCAAUACUAUUGUCGAUUAUUUUCAAAAAAUUAAAUUAAAUUUAAAAAAGAAAAUGAUUUUGAUAUACUUGAAAAGGCAAGUUUUGUCAACUCCUUUUCAUCUCCAUAGAUUUAUUCUAGUAAUUAUUGGAAAAAUAAAAAGAGAGACUAAAAAUGAAUUAUAAUUUUUUAAGUUAAAAUGCAAUUAUACUAUAAUAUUAAUUUAUAAUUUCAUAAAAUUUAAAUGACAAGUUUACUAUUUAAGGGUAUAUACAUUGCGUGCCCCCUAUCUACACUUAUGAUGUGUAGCAUGAAUUUUGGUGCAGUUUAUUUCUUUUGGAUAACCAUGUUUAAAGACAAACCUUUAUUUUUUUUUAGUACAAUACAAGCAGUUAUAUGAUAAGGGAAAAGGGGAAGAGUUUAAAUACACAGGCAUAAUCCUAAACAUGCACAAUUUUCACAGCAAACUCUGGCCGUAAACAUGCAAAAUUCAAAAUUUUUGAGGCAUUUCUUAUCAGGUUUGUCUUUAUUAACAUCUAAAAUUUUGGCCAAAGUGGUUGUUGAGCUCAAGUCGGCAGGGAGAGUCACCUCCUCUUUGCGAGCGGCGCUUGCCGUUGGAGGCAUGGUGGCUGCCAGGACUACCGCCAUCAUAGCCAAGACGAAAGUAAAUUUCUUCCAGAACUCCAUCCUUAAUAAUUUUGAGUGUAAAUUGAUAGAAACGUUGUACAAAUGGAGGUGCAUUAUAUAGAAAUGCCCAAAAUAUUUUAGUGGUUUACCAAAAAAAUAAAAUCAUAUUAUGAACAGGAUGAUUGCAUGACAAAUUACGUGACUUGCAUGUCAGACUACUUGAUGGAAAUUUUGAUACACAUCCACCAUUUCUCUCUUUUUCUCUUAGUUUUUCUUAAAUAUUUUAGUUAAUAUAGGGAAACUGAAUAAAGAUAUUAAUACUCGUAAAAUACUUAAAUUUAACUUUAAAAAAUAAAAAUCUCAAAUUUGCAUUAUUGAGUGAGCAAUUAACUUAUUAUAAGAAGAAAGAAAAGGGGGGGGGGGGGGGACCCCUAUAAACAUGAGGCAAACAGCCAAACAAAACCAAUUGGUAAUUGAUGAAAAGAUUCUACGGAGAUAUAAAAUCGUAUUGUGCUAACUCUUUCAAUUUCAAUCAUGAAAAUCAUGAAGAUGGAACUCCCAAAUAUUAUUUGGUAGUAUAUAUCAAAAAGUACAUAAUUUUCAACUGAUUCCCUCAUCAAUGAUCCUGAUUUUUUUAAAAAAAUUCCAACAGUAUAACUUAAUAUGUUGAACUUUAAUAAAUAGUGUUAUAUCUUAAAUUAAUUUAAGUUGUGUUUUUUUAUUUGUAAGUAAAUUAAAUUGACAUUUAAAAAAAAUCCAAUAGUAUAACCCAUGAUAUUUAGGUUGAGUCUUCUAUCCAGGUCUAAAGAUCCACUUGAAAAAUAGUAGGGUUUAGAUAAAAAUAUAGGCACAAAAAUGAGCUUAGACAAAAAAUAAAACAUAUUAUCUAAAAGAGCGGGGCCUCGGGUAAGAUUUUUUGACCCGACCUAAAUUUUGCCUAAAUUUGUUUUAUUUUGCUGUUGUUUAUUGUUUUUUUGCGGUUGUUUUACUAUAAUUUUGCUAUUAUUUUGUUAUUAUUUUAUUAUUGUUUGGAUAUUGUAUAACUCUUAUUUUAUUAUUAAUUUUGUUAUUAUUUUAGAGGCAUUUGCUUGCUAUAAUUUUAGUGUUAUUUAAGUAUAAAUAAUUUCUUAAUAUAUUUUCAUUUUUUUAGGAGACAUUUAUUUUAAUGUUUUUUACUUUUUAGUGUAUUUAAUGUAUUUAAUGUAUUAUAUUUUUAAAAUUUGUUUUUAUAUAAAAAAAUUAAUUCGGUCGAGUUGGCUUGAGUUUAGAAUUUUUAUUUUGGUCGGGCUUAGAUAAAAUUUUAGGCCUAUUUUUCGAGUCGAGCCAGACCCAAACUUAGAAAACGGGCCUAAAAUUUUGCAUCAACCCAACUCAUGAUCAGGUCUAGUACAAAGUAAAGCUCGUUGCACUCUCAAAGGGAAUAUGUAAAUUCGAACCUUAAAAACGAUAUUAUUAUGAGAACUGAUUACGAAACCCAAACAUGAAUCAUAAGAUAAACUUGAUGUAAUACUCCGAAAAUUUUACAGUAAGGAAAGUAAUAUAAUAUCUCUGAUAUAGUAAAAUAAGGAAAUAAAGUGCUAAAAAGGGGUAAUUUUGAGUUAUGGCAAUAUUGGGAAGUAUAUUAUAACAUUAAUUCAAGAAAGGAUUAAAUCGCAAAAGUGAGAAAAGUUUUGUUACCCAAGAGUAAAUACUCAAAAGUUGAGGGGUUAAAGUGUAAAUAUGAAAAAGUUGAAGGACCAAUGGUGUAAACAUUUUAAGGGUGGAAUGAUCUAGAAACUAAGAAAAAUGGAUGGAUUAGGACCAAAUUGAAAAAGGUGAAGAAGUUUGAGGGACUAAAUCAUAAUUUUACCAAAUUAAGUGAUGACUCAAGGAUGAAAUUUUAAAAGAUCAAAAAGGGCAAAAUGGUCAAUUAGAAGAGAGAGAAAUCUAGAAGAUAAUGAUGAUGUUGGAGAUAUUUUAGAUUAAUAAAUAAAUAAAUAUUAGUUUAUUAAUAUUUUAAUUUGAUUUUUAAAUGAUAUGUUAUUAUUUUAUUAUUAAUUUAUUUAGUAUAUAUAUAUAUGUGGAAAGAAGGAUGAAAAGCAACCAUCCCCACCAUUUUUGCAUGCAUUAACGUGAGAAGAAGAGGGAAAGAAAGAAAGUUUUGCUUUCUUUACAAUUUGGUCCUUUCACCAAAAAUCCACCAUUUUCACUUAGAAAUCAAAGAAAUUUUCAUAGCCACCAAGAGAGAAAAUUGACAAGGAGACUAUGGGAAGCUAGAAUAUCAAGUUAGAUUCAAGAAAUAGAGGCUGGAGGAGAGAGAAAAUCAAGUUAAAGAUUGAAGUCAAUUGAGCAAGGUAAGAACAUCAUGAUUUCAAUAUAUUUUUGAGUUUGAUAUUAUUGAAAAAGUAUGAGAUUGAUGUUAAUGUAGGGUUUUAUUAUAUAAGGUUAUAUGUUCUUGAUAUGUUAGUGAAGAGAAAAUAAGAGAAAGUGUUGAGAAAUAGUGUAGAGAAGGAAAGUAAGAGUGUUAUAGACUUUGUAAUCAAUAUUUUGCACUAAAACAGUUUUGGACAGCAGCAGUAGGUUAACUUUGAAAAAUCACCAUAAAUUGUGAAAAUCUAAUUAGAGGAUGAAUAAAAUAUGAAAUUAAAUAUUAUUGAGUCUAGUUUCUCAUAGAAGAAACAGUGUAAGAAAUGGAAUUGUAAAUCAUGAGAUAUAUUAAAUUUUGUAAGAUAAUGUUAGAAUGAUUUCGGGUUCCCCUGUUCUGACUUUGGAAAAUUGUUAAAAAUUGUACAGAAAUAAUUAUGAGUUAUAAUUUAUAUACUUAGAAUAUUUAAUGAGUCUAUUUUCAAAGGAAACAAACGGAAACAUCAUCCGAAUUUUGUACAAUGAGAUAAUUAAUUUUUAGUGAAAAGAGGUCAGAACUGUCCAACAGUGAAACAGGGAAAACUUUAAAGAAUAAACUGUACUAUUUGGCUAAACCAAAAAUUCUGAAAUUUUUAUGGUAAGAAUAUAUGUGAAUCUAGUUUUGGGAAAAAUUUACGAAUCUUAAUUUGAAGCUCUGUAUCUCCAGAUAAAAAUAAUUUAGUGACUCUGACCCAGACGGACAGCUUGAAUUUUACAUACAAGAAAAUAGUGAAAGUAUGAAUAAUGUUGUUUAAAUGUGUUACACACAUUAAGGAUGAGGAAUGGAGAGGAGGUGGAGGAAAAUUGGGAAAUAUAUGAAUGACUUGUGUAUAAUUGGUCAUAUGCUUAAUUAUAAUUGAUAAACGAUGAAAUAGAAAUGAUGCAUAUAUUUGUGCAGUAUUGGUUAUGGUUUAAGCUCAUGUGGGAAAAUAAAGUUUAUAGUACGUGUGUAUUGUAUUUUUGGUAUAUGAUUUGGCAUGAAGUAAUGUCGUGAAUGGGUAUUGAAUUAACACAUGUUGGAAAGUUUGAUAUAUGAAUAAAUAUUGUGAUCAUGAAAGUGGUGGUAAGGUUUAAAUUAUGAAAUCUUUAGUGAAAUGGUUUAUUAUGUGAUUAUUUCCAAAAAGAAUUAUGUUUCAAUGUACUAGUUUGCGACUAUGGUUUGAAUGAUAUGUUUAUAUCUUGUGUGAUGUGCAUAGGAAACGAGUGUGGAAAGGUAAUGAAAUAGUAAGUUCAUAUGGCUGAAAGUUAAUGAUUAAAUGUUAAUUUCAUGAAUUAUAUAAUGUAUGAUGAGAUAUAUUUAUUGUUGAAAUGAGAAUAAAAUAAAAAUGUGAAAACCAAAUAAAUGAUCAAAUUGAGCGGAACGCCGGAUUUGAGUACUUCUGAUCAGUGACAAAGUGAUAAGUGGUAGCUUUAGCUACACUUAUCUAAUCAAGUGACAAAGUGAUAAGUGGUAGCCUUAGCUACACUUAUCUGAUCAGGGACAAGUGAUAAAUGAUCAUACGUAAAACCAUAGUUAUACUAUGGCAAAGUGAAAGUGAAGUACUCAAUUUUCCGUAACCGUUCCCUAAUUUGAUUAAGGAUGGUAAGUGACAAAUGGGCCUAAAAGAAUUAAAGUAAAUAGUUAAGUGGUAGUGUAUUUAUACCAGGAUGAUGUUGUUAUUUUAAAAUGACAUUUUCAUUGCAAAAUUGAGAAUUUCAUAAAUGUGUUAUUGAAUGGUAUAAUCGAUAAACGUUGAGUUAAAUGGUAAGUAUGUAUUAGUGUUGAACUUAAUGUCAUUAAGUUGUACGUGAAUUAAAUGGAAAUUGCUAGUGAUAUGAUUUAAAUUGUGAGCAUGAGAAAUUGCGAAUUGAAUGAAAUGAAAAUGAAGCAUUGAAUUGCAUGAGUAUGUAUCGGGUCUUGUAGGCCCUAAUUAUUAUGAUUAUAAUAUUUUAAGGAUAUAUUGUGAAAAGUUAUAGAAGUAUGUUAAUUAUUUUGAAAGUUUUAAUUUAGAUGAAAUUUUAUAACUCGGUUAAAUACGUUUACAAGUGUAUGUGUUUUAGUAAUACCUCGUACCCUAUUUCGGUGUUGGAUACAGGUAAGGGGUGUUACACUUGAAAAAUAUAAUAAAAUGACAUUUCACCCCACAUAGAAAGAAAAAAAAAUAAAAGAAGAAAAAGAAGUUGGUUUUCAAAUAAAGUUGAAAUUCCCAGUAAUGCAUUGCGUAGUACAAUGAGAGAUGAGUUUCCUUUCCCAAUUUGGACUCAAAUUGUAAUUCCAACUAACCAUGCCAUUACGAUGACCACGUAUCCCGUCUACCAACAUUGAUCACGUUCAACGAUUCUUUCAACACUUUUUUUUUUAUAAUAUAAUCAUUUGUAUUAUACAAUAAUAUUUUAUAUAUUGUCGGUUGAGUUUUUAAAUUUUAAGAUAUAAUAAAAUAUUAAAAAAAAUAAGGCACGUGACAAUUUUUUAAAAUUAGUUUUGAAAUAAAAAAUAUAUUAUCAGUAUACCAAAUAUUAACUAUUUAUUAUAUACAUAUUUUUGUAUAAUAUCUAGAUGACAUUAUUUUAAACUCGAGCAUUUUAUUUUUCUUCUUCAAUAUUUUAAUUCUAAAAAAAAUUUGAUAUAAUUAUUAUUAAUACAUUCUGAAGUUAUUUUUCAAUCAUAUAUUAAUAAAAAAAUUUAUUAUUAUUAAAAAUUUUAUCACAUGUAUAUAUGUGUGUAAAUUGCGUAUUUAAAACAUAAAAGUCUAUUUAAAUAAUAUUACUUAUUGUAAAUACAAAAAAAUAUUUUUUUAUAAUUUCUCCAAUUAAGUUGGUGCUUGGUUGACUCAUAACACCAAUACAAUCAUAGGUUUAAAUAAUAGUACGUAUAUAUAUACAAUUGAUGGAGGUAAUAAUGUAUACAUAAUAAAAUUAACAUAUAUAAAUAACAUUAUAUUAAAGCGUUGGUUUAAUGCUAAAUUUAAGGUUUUAUUAAUUCAAUUGGUAUAGGUUCAAAUAUCAUCAUAUACAUAUCUUUUAUUAAUUUUUAAAUAAUAAAAUUAAAAUAUUCUCAAAUAAUAUAAUUUAUUUUAAAUAUGAAAAAUAAUAUUUUCAUAAUUUUUUUUAAUUGAGUUAGUAUUUAAUUAAGUAAUAUUAACUCAAUUAAGAGUUUGAAUAGUAGUAUAGAUUAAAUAUAAAUUUAAUUCGAGUGGUUUUCAAUUUUCAUUUUUUCCAUUGCCACAUUAGAUAAAUUUAACGGAAAUUUGUGAGAAAUUGACAAGAGAUAAUGGCAAGAAAUAUACUUAUAUUUUAACAAAAUUAUUAAUGCAGUGUAGUGUUUGUACUUUUAAUUUGUCAUUUUGAUACUUAUACUUUGUUUCCGUUAUCCAUUCUAGUACUUGAUUGUAACGUUGUCAGUUUCUUUACUGACGCGGCAUGUCACUCAACAAGGGCCACCAUGUGAUGUGGCUGGUUGCAGAACUUUGACGAACUAAGGGUGGGUUUGGAUGGGCGAUUAGGUGCGGUGCGGUGCGGUGCAUUUAGUUUACUUUUUGUCUCACGCUACAGUAUCGCUACAGUAUCUAAUCUCACCGCCACUGCUGUUUUUACACUAACCGUAGGUAAACACACCGCCCAUCCAAACUCACCCUAAAUGAGUCCCUUAUGAGUAAUUUUUUUUUCUUUUUUUUUCAGAAAAGCAAAAUGUUUAAACACUUUUAUACCAUUAUAAAAUUUAUAAAAAUUUAAAAUAUAAAGUUUUUAUAAAUUCAUUCAAAAGUAUAAAAAUUUAAACGAGUGUUUAGACAUUUUGAGAGAUUGGAGUUAGAGAAGUUCAAAUGUUGAAAGUGUUUUUGUGGCUUUUGAAAAAAAUUUCGGGAAACCUAAUCAAAGCAUUCAAAAGAGGGAAUGAAGAGCAACAAUUAGGUGCCAUUUCCGAGCCAGAAAAAUGACCAAUCAUGGUGGUGUGGGCUAGGUGCUGGCUAGGGUUGAGGGAGGAAGAAGAAGGAGAAAAAAAGAAAAUGAGGAGAAAUUGGGGGAAAGAAAAGAAAAGAAAAGAAAUCAAAAGAAUCCGCGUUGAAAAUAAAAAGGAAAAUAUAUUAUUUUUAUUCAUGUUUUUUAGUUUAGAAAAGGAAGAGGAAAUGGAAAAAUUUCAUGCAAGCCCCCCCUUUUUUUUUUUACCCUUAAUCAUUCACCACUCUAAUCGAGCUCACUUUGCCAUGUCACUCAUCCGAUGGUCCAUAUGUCAGUUUCUAACCAUUUUUUUAGUACCAAAUAAUAGACAGAAAAAAAAAAGUUCAUAAUAAUAGAGUCACCUGCCGUUAAUUAAUGCCUUUAAAAAUUUUAAAAAUUAAAUAAAUAAGAUACAUGAUGAUUUGUUAACCUUAUAGAAACUAAAUAAUUCAUCCUUAGUGUAUCAAAUAAUAAUUUUUAUUAUAAUAUUAAAGUGAAAAUUUAUUAGUAAAAAAGGUGGGAGUGAAAAAUAAUUGAGAGCAAUGUGAGUAGCAAUGAGUAUAACCAACAUCCAUGGGGUGAAUGCUUUAACAUCCAUGGAAGAACGAGAUCGAGAGUUAACCUCAUUUCACUUUUUUUUUUUUAUUCAUCAUACAUAAAUAUCUUGUAUUAAAAUGGUCCUAAUUUGGCCAUCAACUUUUAUUCUAUUUUCUAAAUUGCUUUUUUUUAACAAAUUUGAUAAAAUUACGAUUAAAAAAGUUAAUAGGAUGAUAUGAAAUUUUAUAUGUAGAAUAUUUAAAAUUAAAAAAUAUAUCUUAAUUUAAAUAAAAUAAAUGUAAUUAUCAUCAAACAAACGUAUGCAUUCAUUUUGAAACAUUUUUUUAGAUAAUUACGCUUAUUUUCUUUUAACUUCAUGAAUUAUUUAUUUUUUAAUAAUAGUUAUUUUUUAACUUCAUGAAUUAUUUAUUUUAUUAUUUUCCACAUGUAAUUAUUUUUUAACUUAAAAAAUUAAAAAAUUAAUAGUUAUUUUUUAACUUCAUGAAUUAUUUAUUUUAUUAUUUUCCACAUGUAAUUAUUUUAUUGGAUUAUCUAAGUAAUAAAUUAUAUCUCAUUAAAAAUAUUCCACAUACGAAAUUCCACAUCAUUCCGUUAACUUUUUGUAAUGGUACGUUCAUGAAAUCUGUUAACAAAAGUAAUUUGAAAAAAAGAAUAAAAGUUUAUGAUAAAAAAAGACUCAAAAAUACAAUUAGGACCAUUUUGACAAAACAUGUAAACAUUAGUGGCCAAAUUUAUCAUUAAGCCAAAUAUUAUUGAAUAAGAUAUUAUUAGUAACAUUUAAAAUUAUAUAUAAUAGAUGUUGAAAAAACUUAUAUAUAUAAUAGUUGUUCAAAAAACUUAUAUAUAAUAAAUGAAUAUUAUAUAUAAAGAAUAUCUUUUAUAUUUUUAGUAUAAAAUAUAUAUAUAUAUAUUUCUUUAAAGAUUAGUUUUCUACAAAUAACGUUUAACACAAACAAAAUUAGGGUACAUUACCGGUAUUACUAAAUAAUAAUCCUCGUUUUAAUCAUAAAAUUCAUUUCUAACCAUUAUCAAAUUUAGAUUAUUUUGAUCCAUGAAAUUAGACAAGAGUCCAAGAAUUUGGGCCUAGUAUUUGGGUCAAAAUAUAAAAUACUGUUCAAUCUUCUUCUUCUUCUUCCCAGCCAGGAGGUCUUUUCCACACUUUCGAUUAUGUUUUAGACCCAUAGUCCGUGUCGUGCACAGACUCGGUGUCUCGUCCGCACCGGCACGCCGGCCAUGAACAACUAUUCCUUGUAAAAAAGGUCAUAGUAAUGCUGUUUCGGGGUUUGUUUACUGUUUCCAUAGGGAAGUUGAAGGGAUUUUCCCUUUCUCAACCAAUGAACUUAACACCAACUUUUUUCAGAGAUGAAGGUAUGCUUUUUUACAGCUUUGCGUUUGAAUUUUAUUUAGUGUUUGAUAUCUCUACUGUAAUUAGUUCUUGUCUAGCAUUUGAGAUUAAUGCUUCGUUUGUAGCUUUGAAUUUCAUUGAGUAAUAGAUAGGUCAAAAACCAUUGACGGGGUUUUAUGGAUUGUAUGUUUUUCUUACUAUAAUCUCAUACAUGUUUCCUAUGAUGUAAUAAAUUGGUAUAUUUUUCUAAAAGGAUGAUUGGGUUUUCUGUUUGUUUGGUUAAAUUCUAAUAGUUAAACAUUUUAAUAGGAAAACCAGUUGAAAAGCUUCAAGCUUUGAUUUGUUAUUCUAGUUUUUCAACCAAUGGUGACUUAAAGAAAGGCUAUGAGAAGAUGAUGUUGGCAAAGGACUUGGCAUGUCUUGUUGAGGAAUCAUCUCAUAAAGAUGAGAGGAAAGUUAAGAGCAGGAUGGAGCUUAAGAGGUCGAUUGAGCUUCGCGUAAAGAAGAGAGUAAAGGAGCAAUUCAUUGAUGGGAAGUUUCGUAACUUAAUGGUCAAUGUGAUUGCCGUUCCAAUUACGCUUCAAGAUGCUUAUAAUUGCAUUAAGCUCAACUCAAAUGUCGACAUAUCGGUGAAGGAUGAUUCUAUAUGUUUUAAUUCCCUUGCAAAAGAGCUCCUUGAUGGGAGUUUUGACGUUGGAGAAGAUACUGUCUCAUUCUCGACAAGAGGUGUUGCCAAAGAAGUCCUUAUCCUUCCAAAUCCUAAGAUGAUAAUUGUUCAAGAAGCUAUCAGAAUGGUUUUGGAAGUUGUUUACAGGCCCCAUUUUUCUAAAAUUUCACAUGGUUGUCGAACUGGGAGGGGUCACCUGACUGCAUUGAGAUACAUCAAGAAACAGGUUUCUAGUCCAAGUUGGUGGUUCCCAUUAAUUUUAAACAAAAAGGUUGAUGCUAAUAUCAUCGCGAAGCUCAUUUCGAAAUUGGAGGAGAAGAUAGAAGACGACCAGUUAUAUGUUAUUAUCCGAAGCAUGUUUGAUGCACAAGUCCUCAAUUUUGAGUUUGGUGGUUUCCCAAAAGGCCAUGGCCUUCCACAGGAGGGCGUAUUAUCCCCGAUAUUAAUGAACGUGUAUCUUGACUUCUUCGAUCAAGAAUUUUAUAGAUUAUCCAUGAGAUAUGAGGCCCUUCAUCAAGGAGAUGAUAAGGAUGAAGAUAAGUCACAUUCCAAGCUACGGAACUGGUUUAGGAGACAGUUAAAGGAAAAUGAUCUUAAAUGCACAACUAAUGACAAUUCGGGCCCAAGAAUUUAUUGUUGUCGUUUUAUGGAUGAGAUAUUUUUUGUAGUUUCUGGUUCCAAAGAUAUUGCUCUUAGUUUCAAGUCUGAGAUUGUAGAUUUUUUAAAGAAUUCUUUGCGCUUGGAUGUUGAUGAUGAACAAACCGGAGUUCUACCUUGUGAUGGGUCUAACGGUAGUCGCUUUUUAGGAGCUUUGGUUAAAAGACGUGUUCAAGAAGGUCCAGCUACAAGUGCUGUGCACAAGUUAAAGGAAAAAGUACGGCUAUUUGCUUCUCAAAAACAAGAUGCUUGGAAUGUCGGGUGUGUUAGAAUCGGGAAGAAAUGGUUGGCUCAUGGUUUAAAGAAGGUUAAGGAGUCAGAAAUUAAGCAUUUAGCAGAUAGUGGCUCUACUUUGAGUAAAGUUUCUUGUUUCCGUAAAGCUGGGAUGGAGACUGAUCAUUGGUACAAGGUCUUAAUGAAAGUAUGGUUGCAAGACAUUAAAGCCAAAGCAGCAGAGAACGAGGAAUCUAUCUUGUCUAAGUAUGUUGCUGAACCGGCCCUUCCUCAUGAACUAAAGGAAUCUUAUUAUGAAUUUAUGAAGUGUGCAGAUGAAUAUGUUUCUUCCGAAACAGCUACUACACUUGCUCUUUUACCAAAUUCAAGCUCAAACUCUGGAUCUGUCACGAUCACUGAGAUUCUUGCUCCAACUGAUGCCAUAAAGAAGCGACUGUUCCGAUAUGGAUUGACCACCUCUGAAGGAUAUCCUCGUGCAGCUUCACUGCUCGUUUUACAAGACAGCAUCCAAAUAAUUGACUGGUUUUCGGGAAUUGUCCGUCGAUGGCUUCAGUGGUAUCAAGAUUAUGACAACUUCAACGAGGUCAAGCUUUUAAUUUCUAGUUUACUGCGGAAAUCCUGUGUUCGUACUCUAGCAACAAAAUAUAGGAUUCAUGAAAGUGAAAUAGAGAAACAAUUUGAUUCGGAACUAUGCCGAAUCCCCUCGAUAGAAGAGGUGGAGCAAGAGCUGACAUAUGAAACAUCAUAUUCUCACCCAUUUGAUAAUGACGAAGCAUUGAUGUAUGGAAUUUCAUAUAGUGGUUUGUGUCUGCUAUCACUGGCAAGAAUGGUGAGCCAGUCAAGGCCUUGCAAUUGUUUUGUUUUGGGUUGCUCAGUGGCAGCACCGAGUGUUUAUACUCUCCAUGUUAUGGAGAGACAGAAAUUUCCGGGUUGGAAGACAGGAUUCACAAGUUGUAUCCAUCCAAGCUUGAAUAAAAGGCGAAUCGGAUUGUGCAAGAAACAUUUAAAGGACUUAUAUCUUGGUCAUAUAUCACUUCAGUCUAUUGAUUUUGGGGCAUGGAAGUGAUGCUGUCAACAAAGCCAAAAAAUAUCAUUUAAACAGUAGACUCUUGAGAAGAAUGGAGAAACCAAACGAAUUGCCAAACCGGUUUGUGUAGGUGGUUUGCUGCCUAUAUUCGGUAUUAAUAGUAAAACACCUCACAAGGAAAAAUGAGCUCGGGAAAUGAUGUACCAAUGGCAAAGAGUGGGAAGAAUAUUACGGGUCAUUUGAACUCAUCUAUGAUGAUCUUCCUGCGAAGUAAGUGUUGUUUUCCUUUACCUAAAGAAACUACUUGAGAUCAUAUUAUUGAUGAACACAUGACAUAGCACAUAUGUAAAGUCCGAUACCGUCGUUACUUCAUGAAAUAGCAUGGAAGGUAGGAAUCGGCGGUCAUCAUCCGUGUCUCCAGACUGGGAAGCCUCAAAGGGGUCUUCAUAGAGAACUGCAGUUGGUUAUUACAGCUUCCUCAUCGGACAGGGGAUCUCUAGAGUCUUGAAAGUUGAGAAAUCUUUAAUGUUACAGUUUUGUUCGCAGAAGUUGCCAACCAAAAUCAUGGCAACUGCAUUCAGAACAGAAGUCUUGAAUCCCGAGGGGAUUCUAGCAACCCGUGUCAAUCCCAAGCCCCCCGCUAGCCUCCCCUAGAUCUGUCCCGGCCAGCCCCUUGCAAGUCUCCCUUUUGGUCCGCCCCUGCUUAUAUACCAUGACAUGGUUGUAUGAUCUGGAUUCAUUUGGAAGAUGGGAGGGAGUGGAAUACUGCAUUUCUUUUUUCUUUUUCUUGGUCAAUUCAGAAUAUCCGUUGAAAUUGCCAUGAAAGUGAGCUGCGGGACAAAACCUGUGGAUUUGACAUUAUACUAAAAAUUCAUGUGACAUAUACAAUUCAAUUUGAUGCUAUAAAUUACAUGGAAACAUGUAAGAUUAUUUUAUGAGAAUUGAAUAUAAUGUUUUUCAAGAUAUUUUAAAGCAACCGGAAUUAACAUUCCUCUCAGCUAUGUUAUUUUAAUUUGAAGUUGAAUGUGAAAUAUGGAUACGCUCAUAUUUUAAUUUUUUUUAUAAACUUAAUUAACUAUAUGGUUAAAAUAUAAACAAGUGUAAUAUAUAAGUAAAGAGAGAAUGUUUUACUUAUGUAAUAGAGUUCUUUUUAUCCCUUGAACCAAUCCCUUAAAUUUUUUUAAAGGGAUGCAUUGCUAAUUCUAUUAGUGUAAAUCUUUUAGUAUAAAUUAGUAAUUAAACUUUAAACCUUAAAAAAUUACAAAAUAGUCAAUGAACCACUUAUAAAUUUUCAUUUAAGAUAUUGGACUUUUAAAAUUGUUGUUGUAUGACAGUUUAAUUUUUUUCAUGAAACAAUUUUGUCACAGAUCUGUAAACUAAAAUUUAAAUAGUUUUUUUUCCAAUCUUUGAUACUGUCAAAUUGAUUUGAAUCUAAAGAAAAAUGUAUGUUCUUCAACUUGUCGAUGGGUUAUACUCCAUUUAUCAAUCGUCGCUUAGAGUUUACUAAUUGGAUUUAAAAAAAAAUUUUAAUAACUAAAUAACUUAAAUAAAAAUUUUCAAAUAUUUUAAUAAUCAUUUUAUAACUUUUUAAAUUUAAGUAAUAUUGAUCGAAAAGUUCAAACUUUUCGAAAAAGUAUAUUUUCCAAAUAAAGUGCGGUCGGAACAAGGCCGAAGGAUGAGUGGGUCCUUAUGCUCUCUAUCAUUUGGUCUGGCUGGCACAUUGACUUGCUUCCUUUAAAUCCCUUUGUAAGGUUAUUGAGCUUGACACAACUGGCUGGUCUGGUCUGCCUCAGCUCAAGCUCAAGCUCUAGCUCCAGCUCAAGUCAGGUCAACUUCUAGGAAGACAGACACUAAAUCUCAAACCCCAACCCAGUUUUCAGACAGAACACAAAACUGAAGUAAGCAAGAUCAAGUGUUUCCAGGUAUGCCCACUUUCUUCUCUCUUUUUUUUUCUUGUCUGAAUAUGAACUGUGUUGAGUUUGCUGCAAAAUGAGCUACAAUGUCAUAUCUUGUUAUUGCUUGUAACUAGUAGCUUGGAUCUUCACAAUUUUGACUUCAAUUAAGUGUCUUCUUUCAUGUGUAUAGCUCUUGUGUUUCUUGGAAUCCACGACCUUUUUGGGGUAUUCUUUGAAUAAGACUUUCUUGAAAGUUGAAAAGUUUCAAAAAAAAAAAAGGGUAAAUUGCAUGUAAUUUGUUCAUCUUUGGGAAGUUUUACAGAUUUUUGUAAAGAUUUUGUUACUUCUAAGUUUCUGUUGAAAGUUGGAUAAGGUUAUCCAUUUCAAUUUGCUCUUGGUUAUUGGAUGAUAGGAAAGGUUGAUUUUGGUAGGGUUGACUCAAUUUUAGUUCUAACAAGAGUGACCAUAAAUGUUGGGAAAUAAUGCAAAAUUUAGCUCUUGAAAGGAACAAAGAAUAAUGUACUAAUUUAUAAACCACCAGCGUUGGAGCCUCAAAACUCGAUGAGAUCAAGUCUUUUAUGUGCUAGAUGUAAUGCCAAUGAGAUCCAUCUCUGUGAUUUUGCAGUGAUAUGCAAUUGCAACUACCAAUUCGUUUGGUCUUACAAUUAAGAAAAUAUGAUAUAUAUAUAUAUAUAUAUGUGUACAUAUAUAUUUGUUACUGCUUCAUAACAAGACAUGGUUUCAGCUAUACUGAUUUACUUGCAUUGGCAGCAUGGAAGCAGUGGCGGUGCAAGCUGGUGGACAAGCUGUUGGUUCACUGAUUACACCAGCAGUUGAAGGUGGAAAGGGUAUUUUCAACUGUUUGCGGCGCAAAUAUGCCUAUGUGAAGAAUAUACGAGAGAAUUUUGCCAAGCUUGAGAAGGAGGAACUAUAUUUGUCUAAUGAGGAUGCGGAUGUUAAAACAAAGUUGGAGAGAAACAAAUUAACAGAAGAAAAGACCAACAGAUGUGAAACCUGGCUCAAUGAGGUCGAAAAUAUGAAACAGGAGAUUAAAAAACUUAAGGUUGACUACAAAAACACCAGACCGUAUUUUUGCGGACUAUGUCCAUUUCCGAGUUUGCUAAAGCUUGGCAAGCGUAUUGUGAAGAAGACAACAGAGGUAGUUGAGCUGAGGAAUCAAAGAGGUCAAAUAACUAUAAUGCAUGAGAAGCCACCGGCACCACCGGUUCCCGUUAUAGAGAAGCAUGCUCGGAAAAAAAGUGAUGUGCCAUCAUUUGAUUCGCAUGUAGAAACACUGGCAGAGUGGUUAGAGGAUGAGAACUUGAAAAGAAUCUGCAUAUGGGGACCUCCGGGUGUAGGGAAGACCAAGAUAAUGGGAAUGUUGCAUGACAGGGUUGGUAAAUCUGGUAAAUUUGACAUCAUCUUUUGGGUGAAUGUAACAGCCAAAGGGAGAAUAAGAGACAUACAGGAUGAAAUAUGGAAGCGUUUAGAUAUGAAAGAAAACGGCAACUAUGUUGCUCAACAAAGAGCAAACAUGAUAUCCGAAAAGCUAAAGGACAAGAGCUAUGUAUUGUUUCUUGAUCUCGAUGACAUUGUCUCAGAGAUUGAUCUUAGAGAAGUUGGAAUUCAUGAUGAAAACGAGCAUGGAAAAGUGGUGUUUGCCUGCAGAUACAAGAACAACAAUAUCUGUGGAGGCACGGAUGAAGAGAUGAACGUGCAGGGAUUAUCGGACAAGGAUGCUGAAAGCUUUUUUUGGAAAAUGGUUGGUUCUGAUCUUAACAGUAAUCCCGAUAUCAAGCCAGUUGCGAAACUCAUCAUCAAAGAAUGUGGUGGCAUGCCGCUCUUGAUCAAGUUAAUUGGCAAUAGAUUGGCAAACGUAGAUGACCCUGCAAUAUGGCGAGAUUUGUUGUCCCAAUUAAGGUCACCGACUAUGGAACCGCAAGAACCACUGGAAGAAGUUUACAAGGCUUUUAAACUUGUCUAUGAAAAACUAUCAGAAGAUAUGAAGCCUUGUUUGCUGUAUUGGGCAGUGUUUCCUGCAGGUUACGAAAUUUUUCGAGACCAUAUAAUUGAUUGUUGGAGAGCCGAACAGUUCUUUUCAAGCCACAGAAAAUUUCCUAGGACACGUGACAGGGGGCAUGCAAUAUUAGAUGAAUUUGUGAGGAAGUCUUUACUAGAAAAGGGAAGAAAAUGGGGGCAUUUCAAGAUGUACGAGUAUUUUCAACGGGUGGCAUUAAGGAUAGCAAAUCUUGAAAAGAACUUAAAUUUUUUCGUCACCGAGGAUGAAAACAUUAUAGACGAAGAGUGGGAACGUGCAAGGAGAGUGUCACUUAUUCGGGUUCGCCUAUCUACUCUACCAAAAAGACCCCAAUGUUGUGGGAUCUUGACAUUGUUACUGCAGGAGAGUAGCUUGACCGAAUUUCCAAGGGAAUUCUUCGGCUAUAUGGAUGGCCUUCAAGUUCUGAACUUGCAUGAAAUACGAAUCACUUCACUUCCACCAUCGAUAUGCAGCUUAAGAAAUCUGAAAGGGCUGUUUAUAAACAACUGUAGUCAAUUAGUACAGCUUCCUUCUCAGAUCGGGGAUCUCCAGCAUCUCGAAAUCCUUGAUAUACGUCAGACCAGUCUCUAUAGUUUGCCCGUUGAGAUUGGAGAGUUGUUGAAUCUAAAAUGUUUGAGAGUUUCAUUCACAGAAGAUGUUGGCAACUACAACCCUGUCGAAGCAGCGAAGCCAAUGAUUCCUUCUAAAGUGAUUGGAAGGCUUUCUAAUUUAGAAGAACUAAGCAUUGAUGUGAGCCAUAGUAGCAGCAGAUAUCAAAAUGCUGCCGAAAUUAUCAGUGAAAUUUCUGAGUUGGCAAAGUUAACCACGCUUUGUUUCUUCUUCCCCGAGAUGGCAUCUUUCAACUCUUUCAUCCAGAAUAGCAAAUCAUGGAAAGGAUGCAAUACACUUUCAGCAGGCAGUAGCUUCAGAUCAUUCAACAUCGUUGUUGGUUGCCGGAGAAACAAUCGUGCUUCUGAAUUUAGAGUCUUCGAAUGUUCAGCCGAGAAGCAUCUGAGGUUUUAUGCGGGAAAUGAAUUUCCAAAUGCGAUUUUAGAGGUACUAAAGCAAGCCAAAGCGCUCGAACUGAUCGGUCACCAAACUGCUACCAGUUUAUCAGGCUUCAGAGCUGAUAACUUGCAAGGAGUGGAAGCAUGUAUUGUCGAGGAAUGUAACCAGAUGGAGAACAUCAUAGAUAGAGACCAAACAAGUAUUGCAUUUCAAGAAAAUGACAGCAUAGGUGUUGAAUUCGAACGCUUGAAAAGCCUAUACAUUUGCAAUCUUCCGAAACUAAAACGUAUCUGGCGGGGCUCGAUUGAAUCUAAAAGCCUCUGUGGCCUUACAACGCUCUCGUUAAAAGGAUGCAACAACAUAGGUAAGCUUUUUUCAGAGGGAAUGAUCAUACAACUCUCUCAGCUAGAAAAGCUGGAGGUGAAGGACUGCCGCCUCUUGACGGAGAUUAUCGAAGAUGGAAGUAUGGUCGAAUCGCACUCCUUUCCCAAGUUGAAGUAUUUGCAGCUCCAUGACUUGCCGGAAUUAUGCUCCAUUUCUCAUAUCUCCUUGGAAUGCCCUUCCUUGGAGACAGUAUUGAUCAAGCCGUGCAUGAAGCUAAGAAAUUUACCACACACAAUUAAAAAUGCAUCAAAACUAAAAACGAUUCACUGCACAGAAGAAUGGUGGAAUCAACAGGAUUGGCCAAAUGACACUAAUAAAGAUGAUUUCAAAAACUUCCUGAGUUUCAUAUGAUAAGAGGAGCCUCAACUAGGGACAAGACAUCCCAAGCAAAAGGCAUUAUUGAAGAGACGGUUGAAGAUUUAGUGAGAAUCAAGAGAGAUAUAAGCCCGGACCUGACCAUAUGCAGCUCUCAAGUAUUCUUAGCUGAGUUGGCUCAUGUGAUAGCCGAGACCCAGUGGGAAUUGGUCAUUGUUACAUUUUUUGUCCUUGAACUUCUUCUCCAAAGAUUUUUCAUAUGUAUGGAGAUUCACCCAGCCUUCAACCAAUGAGGUAAACUCUCUCCUCAUAAUCACACUCCUACCUCUCGAUGGUUUCUCGUUUUUUUUCCAUUUGGUAUUGGGUGUGAUUAGAAUAGGACUACCCCCUUCGUUUUGCAUGUUUUCCCUUCCUUUGUCUCAGCCAGUUACUAUGUUGCGCUUUAUCGAGUUGAAGAAACAUUGUGUGCAGCCUGCCAGAGUGGCAUUGUCUCCAACAGCGAGACAUUGAAUCCUUUUUAAGUUAAAGUCCUAUAACACGAAAAUAUGUGGUUAGCUAAGUUCGUGUUGAAUUUUCUCAAUGACUGUUCGUUUGUUUUUGAGUGAAUGCUAGGUUUUCUGUUAGUUCAUUGUAAUCACUUCGUGUGCAUUAAUGGCUGUAUUUCAGAAUUCUUUGGUUUUAAAUUUCUUGAUUCAUUCUUUGCAUGUUUGGAUGUGAGUAUGAAAAUGUGAUCGUCCAAAGACCCACCACCAGACGGUCUGCUUCCGGGAGCUGAUACAAAGGUUCCAUUUUCUGAAGCAGAUGCAGACUUGGCGGAUUGGGUCUGAAAGUUGAGAACCCUUGGGUUUUGAUUAUUAUUUGGGAAGGAUUUGAAUUUGCUAUCUCUAUCGGGUGUAUAUAGUUGGUUAUUUUAUUCUGUUUUUCGAUGUUCAUUAGAGACUCAAUUCAAAAUCAACACUAAAUGAUUGGACCAAUUGUUUAGAAAGUUACAAAAAUGAAACAAGAGGUUGAUGCCUGUAGAGUCCUACGUUUAAAAGAUGUUCAGGGAAAUUUCACUACUUUUUCAAGUAGAAUUACUUGAAAAAGGAAUCUAUAAAAAAAAAAGGAGAGGCUGUUUUUACUUUUUAUAUGCUCUGUAAGAACAUGUCUUCUUAGUUCUUACUGAAUAAUUCUUGAUGAAAUAGGGUAGUUUUUUUUUUUUAUAAAUAAUCUUGAUAACCAAACAAAUAAAAAUUAUUUAAUCACUCAAUUUUUGAACUUCUAUACUUUUUCUUAAAUCUACAAUAUUAAUUAAUCAUUCUAAUUUCAAACAUAAAAACUACUUGAAAAUAAUCAAAUAAAAUUUUGAUAGGUUGUGGAGACCUACAAAAAUAAAACCUUCUUAAAAAUAUAAAUGAAUAGAUAUUUCUUAAGUAAAAACAAGUAAAUAUUGGAGGUUAGGAAAUCAAAAACUAAAUUUAAAUUGAACUUAAUGAAGAAAGCAAUGGAAAAAAACUCUAGCCAAAAAUAAAACCAAUUCAUAAAUACGAUCAUCAAUACAAAAAUGCGCCUUUAAUAAAUUAGUUCUAGUUGCUAACUUGAUGUCCGACAACUAAUCUCUUUUACUUGUUCAGUAACUAAAGGCAAUUUAUUUGAAAUUAAUUCCAAAAUUAAUAACUCAAGGUCUAAGAUUUAAAUUAUAACUUUUAUAUGUCUUACCGUUUUAAUGAUUUUUUAUAUUUUUAAAUUUUUUAGAUAUUUUUCUAUUUUUAUUUUUUAAAUUAUAAUUUUUUUUAUAGGAAAUGCAAUCAUCGAAGAUUAAACUACAACCAUUCCAUGUGUAACAACACUAGUACAAAUCUGUAAACUCCAAUUGGCUGUGCCAACACAUCAACUAUUUUACUAGCCUCCUGAUAAACAUGAAUAACUUCAACCUUCCAAUUCAAUCUUAGAAGCCUCUUUAUGCUUCUCACCAACACACUAAUAUCCUGUAUGGUUUCUCGCUCUUUAAUCAGAGAGCUUACAAGAAAAAUCUUUCAAUCAAAAUUAAUGAAAAUGAUUGGGGAAAGAAACAAAUUUUAACAUAGGAAGCUAAUGCUAUAUUUAAUUGUUGAUUUCAGUUAGCUUCUUCCAGAGUUACAAAAUUCAAAACCCAUUAUCACAUAUUGGAUCUAGACAAAUAUGUAAUUUAUUGAAACCAUACAUCGACCUGGCUUGACCUAUAUAGGAAAUAAAAGUGAGCCAAGAUGCAAAGCAGAUUUUAGCAAACAAGAAUUUUACUAUGCUAUAUAAUGAUUUACUAAAAAUGUAACAACUUCCUUCGAUAAAACAAAUGUAACAAACUAAACUACUGCAACUAAAUUUCAAGAAGACGAUUGGUCUAAAACUGCCGCUCAUGAGUUGAAAAGCAGAGGAUAGAACUUACAGAAGAACCAACACAAAGUACCAGCCAGCAAGCAUCCAACUCAUCAAUUCUUUAAACAGCUCCAAAUAUUAUCAAACUUACGCGGCGGAUUGGGCUGCAAGCCUCUUCCGGGCUUCCUCAAUGAUCGACAACUUGAUACCCUUGCCCUUAGGAAGCGAAACCCACGGCUUUGUCCCCUUACCAAUUGUAAACACAUUGCCAAGACGGGUUGCAAACUCGUGGCCAGCAGCAUCUUGAACAUGGAUUGUCUCGAAGCUACCCUUAUGCUUCUCUCUGUUCUUAAUCACUCCAACACGUCCCCUGUUCCUUCCUCCAGUGACCAUGACAACAUUCCCGACAUCAAACUUGAUGAAAUCGACAAUUUUGUUGCUCUCUAAGUCAAACUUGAUGGUGUCAUUAGCCUUGAUCAACGGAUCUGGGUAGCGGAUUGUUCGGCCAUCAUAAGUAUUGAGGUAUGGAAUACCCUUCCGGCCAAACUGUACAGACCGAACUUUACAAAGCUUAAACUGCAGAACCAAAGAUGAAAAGACCAUGGCCAAUCAUUAGAAUACCAUCCACAGGAUCGAAAAUAUGGAGAAAAACUAAUCAAAUAUUAGACAACAGUAACAAGAAAUAUAACAAAUUGAGGUUGUAUCGAUACAAACCUUCGACUCGUCACCAGUGAUGGCAUGAAGGCGGAAUCGACCUUUUGUAUCGUAGAGGAGACGGAAGUCCUCAUUCGUCUUUGGAAUUGACACAACAUCUGGAAGUAGGAAAUAAAGAAUAACAACCAAUACAUGAUUCAAAGAUAUUGAAGCACACAGAAAAGGUACAAAAAUAAGUCAUCGUGAAAGGUGAACCAUUAAAAAACUCUAGAAAACUAAAUUAUCUGCCAAAAAAUAUUGCCAAUUCGCCAUGUACUUAAAACCUAGAAUGAAAGUAACGACAUCAGGCCAAUUUGCAACAAAAUGAUUUGUGUAGAAGACAUGCAAGAAUCAAAGAAAUGAUGCUGUACUUCGUAUAAGUUUAUCAUUUGAAAAUACAAAAAACUCUCCAGAAAUCAAAUUCUACAUACCCAUGAAACCAGCUGGAUAAGUCUUAUCAGUUCUAACCUUCCCAUCUACCAUAACAUGCCUCUGCAUAAGAAUAGCAAUCACUUCUCUAUAUGUCAGAGCAUACUUUAAUCUGUUUCGCAGAAUGAGAACUAGUGGCAAGCAUUCCCUGGAUUUGUGAGGUCCAGAUGACGGCUUUGGUGCCUGCAUGAACAAAGAAAUUAUAAGAACACAAAAUAGAGGCAGUGAAUUGAACUGGUAAGGAUGUAAAAGGGUUUUUGAGAUAAUAACAUACAAAUGCACCGCCAAGUUUGUCGAGCAUCCAAUGCCUAGGAGCAUUGAGCCUCUUCAAAUGUUUCUUCAACCCUCUAGCCUGCAAUAGACAAGGAAAAAUAUAGCUUUAAAUAAAGCCACAAUGUAUAGACUUUGAAGCACAAGAACUUUCAUCAGGGAGAAAAUAAGUCGCCCCAGAACCAAAUCGCAAAGUAGAUUUCACACAUUUAGAAACUAAAUCCUAGAUAAACUUGUAAGAAAUCAGAUAUAGAGGAACCUCAUCAAUUGAAAACUAAUAUAAAACACAAUUAAAAGUAACCAUAUGAUCUUAACAUUCACUUCAGCAACUACACUUCCUAUUUCCCCAUCAUGUGGAACACAAUGUAGAUUCCACACAUUCAAAAACUAAAUCAUUGUUAAUCUUAUGGUAAAGAAGAUAUAAAAGAACCUCCCAUCACGAGAAACAAUAUUAAAAAAAUAAAAUAAAAUAAAGCUGCUGUUGCCAUACAAAACCAGAUAUUAGCUAGACAAGAAAAAAAAACACAAUUUCAUGAACAACCCAAGAAUACCCACCAGCAAAAAUCAACAAUACAUUCAUUUUUUUAAUAGAGAAAUGUUGCAAAAAAUGUCAAAAAUAGGAAACCCGGGGAUUGAAAAAGCAAAGAAUGAAAACAACAGCGAAGAGGAGAGUAAAGAACUGACCAUUUUGGUGGAAUGAAGCUGUUUCCGCUGAAAGCCUUUACCUUUCCAGGGAAGGUGCGAAUAAGAGAGAGACGAAAAAACCCUAAUCUAUAUUCAGUGGCAAUUUAUGGUUUAAACUUAGCUAAAUUGGGCGACCCGGAUGGAGGCCCAACUCUUCUUUUAUCAAUAACUUUUUAAUUAAAUAAUAAUAUAUCAUUUGGUGCUCGAAUUUUCUUUUUUAAGAUGGUAUCAGUAUUUUUAUCUUAUUAUAGUACUUGUAUUUGAGAAAAAUUAUACAUUUUGGUACUCAAAUAUAACAAUAUUAAUUUUUUUAGUAUUAAUUUAGAUUUUAGAGUUUAUUUAAUGGAAGUUAAUUGCUGACAUUAUUCAGGUUGAGUUUUUAUGAUUUUGUUAAUAAAAUAAAUUUAGUAUAAGUUAUGAACUUGUUUAAUUUAUUAAAUACAAUAUGAUGGAUGUGAUUUUUUUCGAAUUUUAAGAUCAAUUUAAUGGAAGUUAAUUAUAAACUUUCAUCAAUUUAAUCUUAAAAUCCAAAUAAGAUACUAAAAUUUAACAUUGUUACCUUCAAAUAUUAAUAAAUAUAAGUUUUGUCGAACAAGAGUCCCAUAAAGAGGAAAAAAACACAAAUAUCUCAUUAAAAAAAUCCAAUUUGGAUACUAAAUAAUAUAAUAAGUGAAAAACUAUAUUAUUAUCAUUAUUUCAGUAUGAAAAAAUAAAUUAAUAUUUAAAAAAAAAAAAAACAGCAACACGAAUAAAAACAUAAACAUAACACAAUAGAAGUGCUAUAAUAAAUAAUGCAAACUAUAUCAGCACAACACGUACACGAAUUCCCAAGGGUUGCAAAGAGUUUAUGUUUAAAAAAAAAAAUUGCAAAUACAGAUGGUAUUUGAAUUAGAUCGGAUCGAUCAAAAAUGGAUUAAAAUAUCAAUCUAAAAAGUGACUUUUAACCGAUUAAUUUGAAAUUUGAUAUAAAUCAAUUAAAUUAGGCAAAAAACAGUUGAAACAUAUUUUUAACUUUUUAUUAUUUUUAAUCAUUUUUAAUUGGACCGGUACAAAUGUUUAUUUUUAAACCAAUGUAAGUUAAGUAAACAUUACAGAAUAAAGUUGUAAUGCUUUUUAUAAGAAAAAUACUAUUAUUAAUAGGAACUAUGAACAACAAUAAUACAAAUAUAUGGUAUAUAAUACAAACGGUAAAUAAAUCAUAAAUGCCAUGUUUGCAGAAUAAUCACAAAAAAAGAUAAGGAUAAUUGACCGUAAAUGCAACGCUGGAAUAAUUUAAAAAUAAACUAGAGCUAUAGCAAUUUGGUCAAAUCACUGAAAUUUGCAUCCUAGCCUCGCCAUCAUCAAAUUAACCUGACAAUGAAUACUGAUUAACUAAGAAAAAAUGCCAAAAAUCCCACAGACCUACCGCAUCAGUGAUGCAUAAAAUGUCGAGUCUCAAAUGGUUUAUUUCCUCAUCAUCAUAUCGAAUCUAUCGCCAUCAAUGUGAUCUAUCAUGAUAAAUCUCUUCUAGAACAGUUCCUAAUAGAUCUGGUGGUAUCCUUAUAUUGACAAAUUUUACAUAUACGCUAGAUAAUGACUACAAAUUAAAAGUAAAAAUAAAAUUACAUUUGCUUUCAAAGAAAAAAAAUCAGGCAAAACAAAACUACAAUUUUAUAGAUAAAACUGUGAUAAUAUAGAUUGGAAAUAAAAACAAAAUAAAACUACGAAAAAAAAAUAUUGAAAAAACUAUGACUCUCGACCGGCGACACCACCUACGAAACAAAGGUUUAGUUUGAAAAGUUAAAUAACUAAAGAUUUUAUUAAAAAAAAAAAAAAAGACGAAAUCUAUGUAAUAUUUGAUUGCCUUGAACCUAACCUUUUUAUUUCAAUAUGAAAAUCUUCAAGUAUUUUUUUUUACUGAAACUCAUUAACUAUAGUUGUCUUCAUAUUAAUGUGACAAAUGGUAGUCUGUAAAUUCAACCCCAUAACUUUGUUUUAUUUUUCUGUAAUCUUUUUAAUAAUUAGGCACAAUUCAAACGUUAAUUUGUUAAAACAGUAAAAUUCUGAUACAAAAUUUAAUAAACUAGGAUCUGUUAUGUCAGAUUAUCAAUACUCAAAAUUAGAUAUGAAAAUGUAUAUGAAUUUAUCGAUAUGUUGAAAUCUUCAAAUUGUAUGGUUUUGGUCUUUCAAAUUAAUACAUAAGUAUUUUAAAGACAAUGACUUUAUUUUUUUGAAGAUUGAAUGUAAAAAAAAGUUACACAUGUGUAAUUUGAUAAUCGUAACUCUAAUAUAUAACUUUUUCACAUUAACAUUAUUUUCUAUUUAGCCCAUAAUCAAUUAAAAAGUAGUUAUUAGAUUAUCUACGCACGUUUAACCUGCAUUCUUUUAAUAACUAAAGCCAAUAAAUCUUAAUCAAGCUAAAUCAUUUUUAAUUUGAACUAACAUUUUACGAUAUAAAUAAUAAUGUGUAAUUAUUUUUUUAUAUAUGUGAUGAUUUACUAAUAAAAAUUAUUUGAAAAUUAAUAAGCUGAUUCAUACUUUAUAAGGAAUUAAGAGAUAAAUCGAAUAUAAUUUAACUCGAUUCAACCAUUAAAACCUUAUAUCUUCAAAAAAAAAAAGUUAUGAGUGCAACUUAAAAUUUGCUAGGUAGAAUAAAAUCAUAUAAUAUUUUAUAUUAAGUUAAAGAUUAUAUGUAAAAAUAAAAUAACAAAUAAUUCCAUUCAACUUAUAGAACUAAAAUUAGAAAUUUAAUUGUGUUUCAACCUUGAAUAAAUCAAUUCAAGCAAUACGUGUAUAUAUAUAUAUUAUGAAAAUGAAACAUAGUGCACAACUUUUGGCUUGUAAUGAAAAACGAAUGUGCCAUGAAUUUGCAAAGAUGCAGUUGCAAAAGAAGAAAAAAGAAAAGCAAGUUGACCUAUCGUUGACCCAAUUUUUGAAUUUCAACUUUGACCCAAACUUGAGAUUUGGUUAAGAAUUUAUUGCCCCGACAGGAGUAAAAUACACUAUAUUUAGUUAUUUACCAGGUCAAAACCAAUCAAUAUUUUUUCAUAAACAAGCACAUUUCAGGUCCCAGUGUGAAAUAGAUAUAUACUAUUAACAUUAUGCUAUUAUUUAAUUCAUUUAUUAAAUUUAUUUACGAGUAAAUCGAGUACCAAUUCAAUUAAGAAAAUUACAAAAAUAUUUAUUCAUAAAAUACGUAUAUGGUGAGAUUUGAACUCACAGCAAUUGGAUUGAUAAAACUUUAAAUUUAUCACACAACAAAAGCUCCAUUUUGAUAUAUUUUUGUACAUUUUUAUUUUAGUAUGCACAAUUUACUAUUUUCAUCAAUUAUACAUAUUAAUAAUGUUGUUAAUUGAGUUUGUAUCAUAAAUCAACUCGACACUAACUUACAAUUGUAACAACAUGAUGAUAAACAACUCUAGUGCAUUUAGUAUUGUUAGUAUGAUGUAUUUAUGUGCUAAAAUUUUAUUUUGCUUAUAAUUUAAUCUAAUUUUUUUACUUUAAUAUCAUAUAUAUUUUAAUGUGUUAUUAUAAUUAAUUAAUUUCAAAUAACACGUUUCAUUAUUUAUUGUAUGUUAUUUUUAAACACAUAUUUAUAUUCUAUAUAUAUAGUUUCUACACGCAUACACGUGUGAUAUGUUUUCUAGUAUAGAUCAAAUUUUUAUAUUCCAUGAUAAACGAAAAAAUAUAUAAGCAAUAUUAUAACAUGAAAACUAUAAUAUAUAUUAUAUUCGUGGUGAAGUUUUAAAAUUUUAUAAGAAGGAUUAAAUGAGUAAUACAUAAUUUAUUAAAAUAAUAAAUAAUUAAUCAAUAACUAUUAAAUAUAGUGAUAAAGUACAUAUUCAAAUUCCAACCUUCAAAAUAAUAAUAUUAAAAGGAGCCACUAUAAAUCUUAAAAAAGUUAAUCUUUAUUAAUAAAACGAUAAUUUAAAAUAUAAUUUGAUAUAUACCAAUAGCAUUCAUGAUUCAAAAGAAAAACUUAAUUUGUUAGGCUCUCUUUGAAAUGGACAUCACUUGUAUCGAAUUAGGACCCUACCAAAAAAAAAAAAACCCAAUUUUGAAUAAUUUAGUUGGCCAAACCCAAUCUGCUUUCUAACAUAAUUUAUAAUCACAAUUGGAACAUUUGAGAAUCGCAACACCAAACCAAACACUGCCUUUUCCAUAAAUACUCUUUACAUUGCAAUUUCAUUUUCUUGCUGAAAUAAAAAUAUAUUAUUUCUUUUAAACAUAAUGAUUUAUUUCAUCUUUUAACUUUAUAAAAAGUUAUUUUAGUCUUUCAUUUAAAUUUUCACUUCUUUUAGUCAUUAACUUAUAUUCUUUUUUAUCAAAUCACCCCAUAAUUGUUGAAAAAAAUUAAUGUUUGUUAACUUUGCUAACACGGUAUACACUUGGAUGGUAUUUUUAAUUAUUUUUAAAAUUUCAAAAAUAUUUUAUACUUUUUAUACAUUUUUAAUAAUUUUAUUGAUUUUUAAAUUUUAAAAACAAUUUCUAUAUUUUAUUUUGAAUUUUUAAAAAUUAAAUAAACAAUUAAAUAUUUAUGUGUCAUCCAUAUGUAUGCCAUAUCAACAAAGUUAGAAAAUGUUAACUUUUUCAUCCAUAUUGAAGUGAUUUGACCAAAAAAAUACUGAUUCAAAGGCUAAAAAAUACAAAAAAAAUUUUAAAAAUUUUUAAAAAUCUUUUUAUAAAAUUAAAGGACUAAAUAAUUCAUUAUGUCUUAAUUUUAUAUAUUGUUUUUGACUAAGAACCAGUACCUUGACCUUAAAACAUGGGAAAAAGUAUAUAUGAUUAUAAAUAAUUAAAAUAAAUUGUGUAUUUAAAGUUUAUUUAUAAUAAUUAUAUUUAAAAUAUUUUAUAUAUUCAUAUAUAUUGUAUUACAAUAAUGAUAUAUAAUAUAUAAAAAGAGAAUAUUUGAUGCAUUGUCAAUUCAUAAGUUUUAUGCACUACCGAUUAGGAGUGGGUGUUCAAUCGAAUCAUGUCAAAUCGAGUGAAAAAUUUCGAGUUAAUUGAGUUCACAAGUCCUAUUUUAUCAUCCUAACUCAAUUUUAAAUUUUUUUUAAAUUGAGUCAAGUUGAAUCGAGUAAAAUUAUUCAAAUUAAAUUCAAAAAAUAAAAAUAUCAAAUAAAAAUAUUAUUACAAUACGACUAAUUUUAUAUUAGAGUACAUAAAUUUGAAACUAUAUAUCAUUUUAUUAUUUAAUGAUAAUACAUAAAACUUAUGUAUACGAAGUUGCAUCAAAUAUCAUUCCAUAUAUAAAUUCUGAUUUUAAUAUUUAUCGUAUUCACAUUGAGACCGUGUCUAAUAUUGCAUACAAACAUUGUAAAGCAUAUUUUGACCGUUUCUUAUUGGCCCACCUGUUUAUUACGUGUAAAAUGGUAGGCGUGUGACAAACUUUGAAAAUGUGUUCUUACAAAACAUCACUUUGAAAUUGAAAUUUACGCUUUGAUUAUUUUUGUCUUGGAGUUUUUCAAGUUUACGAAUAAGGCUAAAUAAAAUCAAAUGUAUUUGUUUUAAUUUAAUUUAUUUUUUUAAUAUUUUUAAAAAUACUUGACAAUAUUUUUACCUCUGUUCGUAGAAAUUUUAACUUGUGAACUAAAUAAUUUUCCUUGAUUUUAUUCGUUUUUUAAUAUAAUUGAUUUUCUAUGAAAAAACUAUUUGGAAAGUUGAUUUUUUAUAUCAAAUAAUUAUAGAUUCAAAAUUAGAAUUAAAUUUUAAUUAUUUAAUUAUAAUAUUUAUAAAAUUAUUAAUUAAAUUAGUUUCAUAGGUUAAUUGAAUACAAGCUCAAUUGAAAAAAAAAAUUAAAAGGUACUUAGGUUAUUCAAUGACUACAUAUUAUAUUAAAUAACUUAAAUUAUAAGUUUAAAUGUAUUUUCAAAAUGGAUUAAAAGUUAAGUUGAAAAUUUUAAAAUGUUUUGGGUGUGGAUUCUGAUGUUAAUUUUAUAUAUUUUUAUAAUAUAAAUUAUUUUUUUAUAUAAUUUCUCCUUAAUAAAUAUAUAGAAAUUCAUGUUGAUAAUAAUAUUCAUAAUAAUUAAAUUAAAGCUCAACCGAUUUAUAUAAAUUAUUAUUAAAUAAUAUUUACGUUAUUCCCUUUAUAUUAUUAUUCUUAUAGAAACAAAAUAUAUUACAUUAUUUAGAUUCAGUUCCUAAAUUUAAAAUAAACUAAAACUUCAAAUCAACUAAAGCGUUCUAAAAGAAACUCUAUUUGUAUUAAAAUUGCAUUAAGAGUUCUGUUAUAAAUUCUUAGCAUUAAUUAAUAAUACAAAGUUCUUAAAAAAUAUUUUUUAAUGUUAGUCAAAAUGAUUAUUUGGGUUAAAUUUAUUAUAUCAAAGAUUAAAGGUGGUAGCAUGAUUUUGACUUUCAUAAGGCAUGUAUCAUGUGGUUAUAUUAAACUCUUUUUUUUUUUUUAAACCUAAAUAAUGUAAAUGGACCGUCGUCUACAUCAAUGAUCACAUCAAAACACAUUCAAUGAAGCAAAAUUAUCAAUUUCCUUGUAAAGUUGCUGGAAUGCCAUCAUAGAAAAUAUUGGUGAAUGAAAUGGACUGUUUUUUAUCUAGUAAAUAAAAAUGGAUAUUUAUCUAAAGGUUAAAAUAUAUUGUUAGUUUUGUAUUUUGAUCAUAAUUUUAUUUCUAAGAGUUGAGUCUCUUCAUUUUUUAUAUUUUAAAAUUUAAGUUUAAUUAUUAAUAUUGUUAAAUCUUUUAUUAAAUUUGUUGGUAUGAUAUUUUAAAAUAAAAAUAUUAAAUUAUUAGUCAUGUAAUUAAAAAUAAUAUUAAAAUUAACUUGAAUUUAACAAAAUUUUAACAAAUAAAUUUUAAUUUUAAAAUAAAAUAUAGGGAUUAAAUCUAAAAUUUUGUCAAAGUAUAUGGACUAAUAAAAGACUUUAACCUUAUCUAAAUCAACGAUCACGUCAGUCCAUUUAAUAAAACAAAGUUAUUAAAUUCAAUUUGAAUCAUUAAAAACACUUUUUUUUCUUGUCAUUUUCUUAAUUUUAGUGUAGUGUAGCUUUCGAAAGAAAAAGUUUUAGUGUGGUGUUAUUCUAUCAAAAAAGAGUUUUAGUGUUGAAAGUUUUCAUCUCAUUUUUAAAUAAAAUAAAAUUGAGGAGUAAAAGAUAAAAUAAUAUUACAUUCGUUUGGUACCCAUAUUCAUAUAUAUAAUUAAAGUUUUGUAUAAAAAACAUAGAAUUAAAGAAUUCUUAUUAAUGCGGAUUAAAUUUUAAUUUAAUUGGUAUCAAUAUUAUUGUUAAUAUAAUAGAAGAGAGGUUCGAGUGUGCACAAAUUCUUAUUUCUUAUCACCUCUUAUUUUUGUUAACAAUGUAUUAUUUUAUAAAUUUUAAUAAUAUAUACUACUAUGUAUAAAAAGAAUGCCUUACAUGACUUUUAUCCAUACAUUGCUUUUUUAUAUGAAAAUAUAAUGGUUAAAUUUUAGUUCUAAUCUCUCUAUUUUAUUGAGAUUAUAUAAUAAUUGUUAAAUUUUAGUUUUGAUUUCUAUAUUUUAUUUAAAUUUAAGAUUUAACUUAUAUAAUUUAAUUUUUACAUAAUUUGGUACCUAACUUUUAUGCCAUAUAUUUUAUUCUGAUUAACAUCUUGAUAUAAUUUUUUAAGAAUUGUUAACACCAUUAAAAUUCUCUAUUAAAUUUAGGUCUAUUAGAAUGUCAAUUUUUAUUACAUAAAUAUCAAGUGAGUAAUUUUUUUUAAUUUCAAAAUAUUACACCAGUUUUAAUAGAAGAAAUUUAACUAUUUUAAUAAAUAAACUUGAAUUUUUAAGUUUAAAAAGUAGAUGAAUUAAUUUUUUUUAAAAAUAAUAUAAAGAUUAAAUUUUAAAAUAUACGAGGAGUAUAAGAUCUUAGAGAAUAUUAUAACUUUUAAAUUUUUAUUUUAUAAUUUAAUAAAAAUAAUUAAUGGCUGACAAUCAUACUAAUAUAUAAUCAUUUAUGCAUCAACUAUUAUAAUUGAUGAAUUAAAAUAAUUAAAAUAUAUUAUUAAUAAAAAAAGUUAAUAACUAAUAUGAAAAUUGGGAUAUAGAUACUGGGGAACCUUAACAACAAAUUUUCAAAUUUUUAUUGUAUAAGCCUCAAACAAUAUAUAUAUAUAUAUAUAUCAUAUAAUUAUAUUAUACAGAAAUCAUGGAAUCCAAAUAGUCAUCCCAUACAAGUAAAGGGAGUUGAAGUUGGGGGCACAUUGAGUGAGAAAGUGGCCAACCCAUCUCUAUUUCUUAUUAAUUCUGAUAUUCUUAAUCAUCACCAUGAUUAGACUGAUGAAUUUUUUUAUUUUUAUUUAUUAAAAAAACAUUUCCAAUUCUAAAUUCAACAAAAGGUAAAAGGUGACAAAAGAAAAAAGAAAAGUAGUACAAUUUCAUAGCACCCAAAGCUACAAAAAGCAAAGAACCUUAUUAAAGUUAUAGAGAUAUAAAUUAGAAAGAGAAACAGAGAUACCCAAAUAUUACAAAUAGUUGAAAAAAAAAUUAAAGUAGAAUAUAAAAACCCCCCAUGUAAUAAAAAAGCAGGGACUGAUAAUUAAAAUAGAAAAAAAAAGAGGCUAAAAGAAAAUAAGAGGGUCUUCUAUGGCUGGCUGCUACUAUCCUUCUUUUCUCUAGCUUCUUAUAACUCAGCUUUUUGAAGGGUUUGCUUUCAGAAUUUAGGAUUUUAGAAGCUCUCCAUUUAAGGUACUUACAUGAUAUAUGUACGAUCUCUUUCAAUUUUUUUUUUUGGGGGGGGGGUGGUUAGUAUAUUGUUUGUUAAGGUUUGGUUUUGUGAAUUAUGUUGUUCAUGCGAAGGUUAUCCUUUUUUUUUUUUCUGGUAUGUGUGUUUAUUAUGUUCNNNNNNNNNNNNNNNNNNNNNNNNNNNNNNNNNNNNNNNNNNNNNNNNNNNNNNNNNNNNNNNNNNNNNNNNNNNNNNNNNNNNNNNNNNNNNNNNNNNNUUGUUCUGCUGGGAGAAGUUUCUUCUGGAAAAGUCCUUUAAGGAAGUUUAUGCUAAUUGUCACGGAUUCAUAUAUUAUCUUUUUUAUUAUAUAUAAAAAAAAUGACAAUUAUAUCUUUUAUGAUGUUUAACAAAACAAUUUUUUUGGACUUUUUCUGCCUGUAUUUAUUUUCUGCAAUUUGGACUGAUAUAUUAGUUUUCAUCAUAGCUUGGAACCUUUAUUUAAUGGUGUUAAGUGAGAAACUAGAGGCUGUGUUUUUUUGUUUGUUUAACUAACAUGGAAGCCGGUUCGGUUAUGAAGAUUCCCCUGUUUCUUCUAUAUACCCUUUGUUCGUAAAGAAUUUUUCGAUUUUGUAUUUGUUUGAUUCAUUGCUGGUAGUGGAUAUAACCUUAAAUAGAGCUUUAGCCUGUUAAUGGUAUGUAACUAUGAAUUUUGAGUUCCCGGGAUUUUCUUGUUGACCUUUCUCUUCUCUAAAAUCAAGCUAAUUUCUUGUUAUCAUGUUACAUGUCUUGAUUCUAGGCAGUUUCAUCUGAUUUCAUGGUCGAGAACUUGAAUUCUCGAAUCUGUUAUUUAUGCAUACUUUUAUGUCUGCAGAUAGAAGUAUAGACAUUUUGAUAAUACACGGUUCGGGGCUGCUGAUAUUUGGUUUUUCUAUUUCAUCCCAUGCUUUGGCUGACACGGUAAUGCUGGCAGUAUGGGAAAGAAGGGAAGUUGGUUUUCUGCAAUUAAAAAAAUUUUCUUUCCACACUCCAAGGAAAAGCUAAAUAAUGUAAGUUGUUAUUCUAACAAUGAUGCAUAUGAACUUCACCAUUUCAUCCGUGCUUUUGUUUCAACUCUACAAAUUUAUACAAUCGUAGAUGAUAUAUGGUUGCUUAAUUUCGUUCUUUCCCUUGUGUAUGAAGUUUAAACAUGCCUGUAGGUUGUGCUGGCAUGAAAAACAGUUUUAUGUUCUCAAACCAGUUUGUGAUUACUGAAUAGAAGAGCAUAAGAACCUGGAAUUUGGAAAAAGGGUCUAAAACAAAAGUGGAUAUAAUUAGUUGCCUUUUGAUGAACUAUAGAUGCAUCUAAUUGGAGUGUGAAAUUUCUGAUUGAAGUCGAUUUUGUUCUAUGUUCAGCUAUUUAGCUCUAUGUAUUUGUUUCCGACCUCGUAGCAUUAGCAAGCUCUACUGCAUAUUUUGUGCAUACAAAGCGGCAUAGUAAAUUAGUUCUUUUUCCCUCUCAAAGACAUGGUUUGGCAUUUUUGGCUUGUAAAGCAUGAACUUUUUCUGCCUAAAUGUUGCUGAAAGGAUACCUUAUAUUCCCCAUGGUUAAAUCUUUUUCAGGAAUCGGAUAAAAGAAGUGAUAAAGAAAAGAAGAAAGGCCCAGGAAAAUUAAGGCAUGGAGAAACCAAUUCCUUCCUUCCCCUCUUUAGAAAGCCCAGCAGUAUAGAGAAAAUUCUGGGGGAAGCUGAACGAGAGCAUAAUCUAAUAUUCAGGCCUCCCACACCUCCAGAGCAGCCAAAAACACCACCUUUUGUGCCUCAUAGACCUGCAUCUCCACAGGGUCCAUCUCCGAGGGUUGCCUCUCCUAGGGUUGCUUCUCCAAGAGCUGCUUCCCCUCCACGAGCUGCAUCCCCUAGAGCUGCUUCACCACCUCCACCUCCACCCCCUCGAGCUGCUUCUCCACGAGUUGCUUCUCCACGAGUUGCUUCUCCAAGAGGUGCUUCUCCAAAACCUGCUCCUUCUAGGAUUGUUCGUCCUCGACCAGAACCAACUUUAAAGAACCAGCAUGCUUCAGCGACCCAAAUUCAAGCAGCCUAUAGAGGUUAUAAGGUAAGUCCUUUAUUAUUCUAACUAACAGAAUAUUUCAAGUGCAAUUUGGGGGCAACCGGUGUGAAAAGACAAACAAUGAGAAAUAUUUGGUGGUUGAACUCGAGAGAAGUAGAGAAUAAUUAAUAUGUUCAAUACUUCACAGGCAAAUACUGGUAUGGGAAGUUAUUGCUUGCACAAGUGUGGUCUAUACCUGGUCACUUUCCCCUCCACUUUUCGACCUGCUGAUAUUAAUAGAUUUACUAAAGACCUUUCAAUAUUAGUGGCUAUUACAUAGGCUGAAGUAAUAACCGAAUUUUGCUUGUGCAAAAAGUUAAUUACUAUGCUACAGGUUGUAUGCUGGACUGUGCUAUCAUGUUGUGUGAUGCACAGUAGAUACCUUUAGAUUGACAUGUUUUGCAUCGAUAUUUGAUUCCCUACUUGAUUAUCAUGAAACUUGGAAUACAGGCAAGGAGAAGUUUUAGAGCUUUGAAAGGCCUUGUGAGGCUUCAAGGAGUUGUGAGAGGUCAGCAUGUGAAACGCCAAACUACGAAUGCCAUGAAGUAUAUGCAGCUUUUGGUGCGAGUUCAGUCUCAGAUUCAGUCACGCAGGAUCCAGAAGUUAGAAAACCAAGAACGACAACAGGCUGAGUCUAAGGAAGCAGAGAGUACCUUAGGCAAAUGGACCAGCCAGGUAGUAAGUCGUCAUUUGGUCAUUGAAUCUUAGUAUUUCUUUUAAGUAGCUACAGCUUAUCAAAUCUUGAGAUGCCCUCCUAAAUCCAAUAAUUUGAAUCAUUGAAAUUUUUUAUGCCAGCAUUCAUUUGAACAGUAAAAGCGAAGAAUUGUCUGAUUUUUUUUGCCAUUUUCCUUUGUACUUUCGAAGUAGCAUUGAUAUAUUUCCAUUAAAACUGUUAGAUAAAGUAAUAAAUUAACACAAUUCUUCCACCUUUAACCUUGAUGAAUUCUUCGGGUUCACAAGACACUUAGCGAACUUGAAGAUCAUGUAUUCAUGUUUGUUUCAUGUACGUUUACUCUCUUCAUAGCUGUUAAAAUGUGUAACUUCGUUGAAUGUUGGAUUAGUCCGAGGCAGGCAACGAAAACUGGGAUGACAGUGUGCUAACAAAAGAGGAAAGAGAAGCAAGAAUGCAGAGAAAAGUGGAGGCAGUCAUCAAGAGAGAAAGAGCCAUGGCCUAUGCAUAUUCCAACCAGGUACACUUUUUAAGUUUUACCAGCCGACUCCGGUUUCAACUGUACCAUAGUGUUGGAUGGUUUACGACUUACUUUUGAGUCUUCAUUUUUCCUGGAGUAUCCCUAUCUAUUGCGUAUCUGGACAAUGGUACAAGUAUAUGGUCAUCCAAUAACCCUCUAAAUCCAUGGAAAAGUUAAUAUGUAUUACACAUACCCAUAAAAAACGACAUAAAAAAGUUAUUUUUAAGUAGGUUUCUGCUAAUUAACUGUAGCUUCUGAGUUGAUGGAGAAAACAGUCAGAUGGGAUUGAGCGUCAAAUUGUAGGAAACUCAACUACAUAUUAUCAAAGAUUUUCUUUAUUUGUUCUCUUUAUGAUUUAAAACCUUUCUUCGUACAGCUAUGGAAAUCAACUCCGGGAUCCGGCAUUCGCUCUGGCGGAUUUCCAUGGUGGUGGAACUGGUUAGAUCAUCCACUACCGCCUGUCAAUGCUCCUGGAAGCCAAGGCACAAAGAGUUUCCAACUUACCCCACCAAGGCCAAAUUCCCAACUGAAGCCUAGUUCAAGGCCGCAGUCAAGCAGCAGCAGGCAAAGGCAAUUCACCUAUGACAACAUCAUGGAAACUCCUACACCAAAAUCCACAAGGUCCACCAUUCUCCAUGCCAAAAGACGGAUGCGAACACCGCCUUCAAGUUCAAGAGCAAGGGCUAGAGGAGCUGCUUCACCAUUCGACUUGCACGUAAAGGACGAUGAUAGCCUUAUGAGUUGCCCACCAUUUUCUGUUCCAAACUACAUGAAUCCAACAGUUUCAACCAAAGCCAAAACCAGAGCUAACAGUAAUCCAAAGGAGAGGCAUGUUGGUACUCCCCAAAGCGAGUCAAAUCGGAGGCUUUCGUACCCAUUAACACAAGGGAUUGGUUCAUACAGGUCGAACAAAGGGUCUAUAGGCAAUAUGAGUGUUGAUUCAACACCAUCUACGCCUGCUACCAUCACUGGUGGAAGAAAGCCAUUUAACAGAUUUGUGUGAUUUAUUUAUUUAUUUUUCUUUUUCUCUGAUUUAACACUUCAUUACUUAUUUAUUAUUUAUUGUGGGUGUGUUUUUCUUGAUUGAGCGUAUGUGUAUGGUUAUAUAUGCUGUAAACUACGAUAUUAGGAAAUUGUGGUUUGAAUAUAACAGGAUUUUAGGGUUUGGUGAGAUAUUAUCAUCUCUUUCUCUUUCUUGUUUAUUAUUAAUGCAAAUAUUUUAGAAAUCUAAUCCCUUUGCCAGUCAUGUUCUUCAAAAUCAAGACUACCUCCUCCGUCAUCAAGGAAGCUUCUAAAAUCCAUUGAAAUCGGAUGGUAAUAUUCUCUGUUUUCCCUUUGGGGACCAUGAAAACAACGAAGAAAUCAAUUUGCUAAAAAAUUGACAUUUUUGUACGAAAAUCAAGGACGGCACAAAAUAAAAAAUCCGAUUCGUUUUCGUUUAUCAAACAGAAAAACUUCAAACAUUGACUUGAAAUAUUAAAUUAAAAUUAAAGUGGAAGGUAUAAAAAAAUGUAGCGACUUGUUCGAGGCCACGAUCAAAACGAAAAAUUGAAAUUUGAUGGGCACGGAGAAUCGCUUAAUGAUAUCGCCAACCUUCAAUGCAAAUCACGCCAUUUUUUUAACUCGACGCCUUUGCUCUGCAAAUUGGCUUUCCUUUAAUUUAAGGGAAAAUAAAAGGAAAACAGACCAACGAAAAAGGAAAAUUAAUCUUAAAAAUAAAAACCUUGAAAGAAAACGGAGAAGAUGAAGAACCUAAAGAGACUGCAGAGAUAGGUUGAAAUAAAGGGCGUUUAUAUAGGGGGUAUAGGAAGUGAGCAGCCAAAACCCUAACCCUAAUAAUAGGAGAGAUUCAUUGACUUGAAUUACGUCUGAAAUGGCUAAACUGCCCUUAUAUAGUUUUCUUUUUUGAACUUACGGCCCUUGUAAAGUUUUUGGGCUUUUGUUAGACUUGUCUGGUUUAUAUGUGUACAUGUCCAUUUAAUCGUUCAUAUUUGUGACUAAUGUGUGUUCUUUUCUUAAGAAUGUAAUAUAUUUUUAUCACUAUACUUAAUACUUAUAGGUGAUUUGUUUAUAAACCUUGUUACUAACAAUAUGUUUCUAAAGACUUUAUAUAAUGUAACUGUAUUAUAUAUUUUUUAAUUAUUUCAUAAUCACAUUUGAUACAUUAAUAAUAUUUCAUAUAAAAUUUAAAACAUGUAUUUAUUGAUAUUGUAUCAUAUUAUCUUUAAUUUUUCACGUCAUCCGUCUUCCAAUUAUAUUUAAGUGCCACUAUUGUAAGGUAACUUCAAAGAGAAUGAACUUGUCAUAUAUGUUAAAAUUUGGGACCCUCGCCAUUAUUUUUAAGCUGUAAAAAAUUUCUCCAAACUUAGGUCGAGUUUUACUUACAAAAUUCAAGCUCAAUCCAAGAUAAAAAUUCCACAACUCCUAAAUGAGAUAGAACAUCCUUAACAUAAAUGUGAGAAAUUUUCAUUUGGCAGAAUCCAAUACAUGAUUUAUGUCAUGUCUGGCUGCAAAUUGCAAAGCAAAGGAACUUUUUGAGACUGUGUUUAAACACUAGCAACACCAUAAAACCAAACAAAUUGGUCAGAAUCCAAAAUUGCUAAAGGAAUUCAGACAAAUGCAUACAUCAAUGACUAUUCAAGUUUCACAUAAAAAAGGUGCACAUCCAAUGAUUAGCUCCUUAAGCAAAUGAAUACAUGUGUGCAAUAGUUAAUGAAGCAAAUGCUGUCAAUAGCUUAGGCACUCAAAAACUCCUAAGCCUUCAACCUGUUCUGGUCCCUUUUCUGAAAUCAGCAAUCAAGGGCCUUCUUUACUUUGAGCAUCUGCCAAUAAUAACUUGAGGCAAUAUAAAAAGGGGUAAGACAAUAUUUAGUCUCUAAAAUUGGCAACUUUUUUCCAAUUUGGUCCCUGAGUUUUUUUGUCCAUAUUAGUCCCUGAACUAGGCAUCUUUUCCCAACUUUGGUCCCUGUGAUUAUGUGACACUCUAAGAUUUUGCCACUAAAAAAAAAUUAUAUGGACCAAAACUGGUAGGAGUUGCCAAGUUCCAAGACUAAUGUGGACAAAAAAAAAACCAAAUUCAAGGACUAAAUGUUGCUUUAUCCCAUAUAAAGAUGCAGAAUGACAAAACAGAAUUAGCAUAUGGGAGAAAUUUUCAUUUGGCAAUUUCCAAUACAAGGUACAUGCUAUGUCUGGCUGCAAGAGAAACACUUCUGAGAAUGUUUUAAACACUAACAGCAACAUAAAGCCAAAGAAAUUUGUUAACAGCCAUAGUUUCUAAAGGAAUCUUCAUAUAUGUGAAGUAGUUAAUGAGGCAACAGCUUUCAGUAGCUUAGAUACUGCUAAGCUUUCACUUCGACUUGUUUUGGCCCGUGCUCAGGUAUUAACAAUCCGAGUCCUUCUUUAGUUUGAGCAUAUUGAUUCUUGUUCUGAUACAUUGGAUUUGAAGUCAACACCCUUAACCCUGAGUUCCUAUCAAUCUCCAAAACUUCAGGCAAUCCAUUGAUGCAACCUUUCGACAUUCCUACAUCUAUCCUUAUUGCCCUAUUAUCACAAGCACCAUUAAUGCCGAUCUCUUGAAUCGUAUGGCCCAUUAUCAUCCUUUUCGCACCAGGAAUCGUAGCAAGAACAUGUUCUAGGAGCGAACAAUCACAGUUCUUGGCAAACUCAUCCGAAAACUUCCUCAACCAAACAACUGCAUUCCUCCCUCUACAAUACUCCGGUGCUCGCUGCCCCAUCAAUCCAUUAAUCCAAUCCCUCACCUCAUCAUUGAUCCUUUGCAAACCAUAGUCUACAUGUUUCUCUAAAAGGCCACCGUGCACGAAAACUGAGUCUCCAACAACUAAAACAGUCAAAUUAUUAGCUAAGAACCUACGGGAGAUUGGACCAUCAGGUCUCAAUGCAGCAAUUCUGGCUCUAAUACUAUGAGAGAACUCUUCAGGGACUCUAUGAAAAGAUGGAGGAAUCCCAUGAAAAGGGUUCUUAGGGAUUUCCAAACCAUGACAUAAGCUCUUCAUUUUGUUCCCUAUAUCGUACCAAUAAGCCCAAACAUCAAAUUCUUCUAAAGCCUUUUUAGUUACAUACCUGAAAUCACCUUCAAUGUUCAUUAUCUCAUGAUUACCAUUCAAAGUUAUCAACUGCCCACCACUUUUAACAGCUUCACGCUUCAACUUUUCCAAGAAAUAAAGGAUCUUGAGCUCUUCCCCACCACGGUCAAGCACGUCACCAAUCUGAACAACGGUGGUAGACCCACCGCACCAACGAUCAGACCCAUCAAUGAGGCCGGCGAGACGGAAAGCUUGCUUGGAUUUCUCGAGAUCUCCAUGGAGAUCCCCAAUGGCAACGAGACGGUUUGGGGAAGGGUAAUGAGUUUGAAGAGGUUGUUGAGGAAUCUGUUGCUGUUGGGGCAAGAAAAGGCCACUGACUGAAAAGUCUACGAAGGUGUCGACGAAUGAAGAAAGGAAUGAAGGAAGGUUUUCGCAUGUUAGUGAUGAUGAUUGGUUUUGUCGUUCCAUUUUUUGAUGAUUUGUGCUUCUUUGAUGCGUUCGACAAUGGGGCAUAUGUAAGUUCAUUGACUGAAAAUGGUGAAAGUCUCGCAAGCACUGUAAAUAGGCUCACAGUGAGCCCAAUGGGUAUUUAAUUGGAUGGUUAGCCUUGAAUUUGGACCCAAUGACUCUUCAUGAGAUAAAAAAGGGGGGCGUUGAGCUACGCCUGCAUGAACCAAAGGCUUAAAAUAAAACCUUUUUAACCGCAACCAGAAACCCUAUAAACCCUAACAUCUAUUUCUCUCUGUGGCUCUGUCCCUUUCUUAAAUCAAAUUGACCAAAAAAAAAAAAAGAAAUGGAUCAUAUAGCAGCAGUAGAACAGCAAUUAGUUUCAGAAAGAAUGAGGAGGAAACUUAAUGAAGUAAAUAUCGCAGCCCAAGCUCAACUUGCUCCGGUCCAAGACCACAUCAAUUUCACUCUUCAGGUUUCCCUCUUUUUUACCCAAACUCAGAAUUUUACUCAUUUUCUUGGUCAUGUUUUAUUUUUUUCCAAUUUUCCCAUUGAUAAAAUCACCAUAACUUCAUGUUUUCCAUAAAAAUAUGAUUUCUUUGGGCUAUUUGAUUGCUUCUGGUAAAUGAGUUCUGUUUAGUCCUUGCUUCUGAAAUGUUAGAAUUAAGUCGAGAUUUAGAGGCUAAAGCUUUGAACCUGCUAGUUUUCUUAGAUAUUAAAAGUUACAUUAUCUUGGGCAUAUUAUUACAUACCAAGUUUGUUUAUUUCUCUGACUAGUUAAGAUAAUGACUUAAGCUUCUUGGUCGUGUUGACUUUUAUUUAUUUUGUUUAAAUUCGUUGUGAUGAUUGGUUGCAGCAAGCGUAUUUCAAAUGUGCAUAUGAAUGCUUUGAUAGAACAAGGAAACAAGAGGAGAUAAGCAAUUGUGUAGAACAUUGCAGUGUUCCCGUUGUUAAUGCUCAACAGCAUUUUGAGAACGAAAUGGCCAAGUUUCAAGUACGUUUCAUAUGUUCUCUAAUUUUCAUUUCAAGCAAACUACUCGGGCUGCAGUAUUCUCUUCAGUGAAAAGCUUUAAAUUUUCUUCAAUUUUUACUUCACUUUCUUGCUUCCACUCUACUUUUCUUCCUGUCCUUAAAAUUUAGGGACCUUGCACAGUUCCUUUCCUUAUGCUUUUUAUGCUUAUUCUGGAGCUUUAUUUAGAAGGGUCUUCUAAAGUUAGCAAAUUGAAUGCAUUGCCUCUUGAAUUUCUUCUUUCACUUAUAGGCAUAUUCAGAAAAUCUAAGUAGUUGAACAGAGAGAAUUUGUGGAUUGUAUGUGAUGGAAUGGCAAUACUAUCCCUUUCUUUGUUGUAUCUAGCAAGCUGCCCAUGGUUCUGGUUAAUGUUUGAGAAGUGUUCACAUUAUAAGUGGUGAGGCUGUGAGGCUGUGAUUCUGUGAAGCAUCAUUGGACUGUUAACCCUCUCUUCUGUUUAAUGAAUAUAGAAAUCUACUAUAAGCUACUGCCAUUUCGCUUCUGCCCUCCUUUUUUUUUCUUCUCUCUUACAGGAAACCAUAGUAAAUUUGAACUAGUUUCUGGAGAAGUAAUUGGCUAGUUUUUACAUUAAAUAAGGAGUAUUUACUAGAAAAUGCUCAAAUGCAGCAUAUGACAUCUUUGAGGUUAGUUUGUAAGUGCAGAAGAAUAUGCAAAUGGGAAAUAGUUGAGUGGAAUGCAAUUCGUAGUUUAGAUGUGCUGGAACUUAAUAUCUACCUUAGCAUCAUCAAUUUGGAGGUUGAAAUGGGGAACUUGAUGAUACGAUAAAAGGCCAGGAGAACGGAAUAUGCAACAAAGAAGAGGAAACUGAGUUAUUUUGAAAAAUAUUCUAUUUCAUCACUAUUUCCCUGUUGGUAUGAUGGUAUCUUAGAAUAACCAAUAGGAUUCUUUAUGUUUAUAUUCUGCUGUUCUUUUGACCUUUCAUCCAGAUAUUACACCAUAAUAAUUUAUUGAUGGAUAGUUGCUCUAAUGAAUGUAGGAAAGGUUAAAUCGAUCCUUGAUGGUCUGCCAAGACAAGUUUGAAUCAGCUAAACUUCAACAAAAUAAAGCCGAUGCAAUCAAUGAGUUGGAGUCAUGCGUCAACCAGUCGAUCGAGGAUAACAUGAAGACAUUGCCACACCUUGUUGGGAGAAUGAAGGCUUCUUUCAACAUUGGUCAUUGAGCCCAGAUGAGUAUUAGAAUAUUGGUUGUAACCCAUUUCUGUUUACUUAUAGAUUCUUAACUCAAAGCUUGAGAUUUUAUGGGAGGUGUCUACCUAACAAUGCCCUUAAAUUUAUGGCCAUCUGUGAUAAGGCUUCACAUAUUUUUUACAGUUGAACAAGGUUUCCUCUUAGCAGUUGAUUUUGGUUUAAAGUAAUACUUGAGAAGCUUCCUCCUGAUGCUUGUUUCAUGCGUUAAUUAAGAAACCUUGCUCUCUCAGAUAAUAUUCAGAUGACUGGAAUAGUUAAUUUACCGUUGCAGUAAAUGAUAAGUAAUUCUAUUUUUCUUCCCAGCCCCCUUAGGUUGCAGUCUCGUCUAUACAAGAAAAAAGUAUUCGUGUGGUAGGAUGUGUAAUAAAUACAUACAUAUAUACAUAUUCAAGCUUGGGUGCGAAUUAGACAAGUAUGUGUCUAACAUGAGUACCUUUAAUUUUUUUUGAAGUUUAUUUCAUGUAUAUGGUGUUCUUGUCUGAAUGCCAAACAUGGGUAGAUUUUUGACAUAAUUAUAUUCAAUUUCUUUUGAGAGUUUCACGUAUUUGUAAAGUCUUUGAAAGAUGAUAGGCAAUAUACAGGAACUUUAAGAAAUUGAAUUGGAACAAAUCGCUGAAAACAGUAAAAUGAACAAUCAAAAUGAAGAGUUGGAGCAACAUAAUUACCAAGUUCGGCAAAAUUCCUGUCAAGAACACCCAGUACUGAAUUGUCACUAACAAUUAAAAGAGGGCAGCAUAAUUCCAGUCAAGAAUUUUAUUGCUUUCAUAACUCAUAGUUGAAGAAUUUCAAGCAAUUGAUUGGAAAAACCGUUUUUAUUCAUCAAAAAAUACAGGGGACUUCAUUGCUCAGGUUGCAUUUUCUCACAUUCAUCUCGAAUAGAUUGGAAAAGCACCGAGGAGAGGUAUCGCUCGCCAAAGCUUGGAAAGACAACCUGAAAGUAUUCAAAUACUUAACGAGUCAUGCAUAUUACAUGUUUGAAAAUAGUACUAUUGCUACCAAAAGAGACAAGAAAAAGCGAACAAUAGUUGGUCAAAAGCAAGACAAUGUGUUCUAAGAAUGGGAACCAUGCUUUUAGAAAUGCUGAGAAGUAAAAGAAAGUGUAAAGAGUGGGAAUUAUACUUUUAGAGCAUCAAAGUGAACAAUAAAAGAAGAGGAAGGGGUUAAGGUCUGGAAUAAAACACCUAAUUAGGCAAGUUCGUUGACAUAACAUUAUAACAUUUAGGAAUUGGCUUCAGGCUGUUCAUAUUCAGAUGAGAUUUCUUAAAGGAAAGACCAAGUGCUGGCCUAGCAGACCACCAGCCAACUUCACAUGUAACCUUCAAUCCAAAGUACACUAUUCGGUGUAUGGAAGCUUCUAUUCACUUCCAAGUUCCAACCCCUACAUAAGUUCAACCUUUAUUUAACUUCUUCACAAGAAUAAAGCUAUAUUUCAUAUUUGUUAAUAUAAUGUAUGCCAACUAGCUUCCUAGUUAUAUUUGAUGCUUAUAAGUAUUCUUACUUGAAAACUGUAGGUCAUGUUCUUAAUAUAUGCAAAAAAAUACUUACUGCAAUCAGCUUCCCAGCAUUCUCCGGUCUUCUCCCCACCUUCAUUGCAGCAGCAGCUGCUGCUCCAGAAGAUAUCCCAACCUGAUAUUACAUAGUAUAAUGAAUCAAAUUAGCAAUGAAGGAAUAUUAUAGCACAUGCACAACAUGAUCUACAAACAGAAUUCAAUCAUCUCUUUUUUUUUCCUAGGGUUUUGAAAGUCUUAACUCAGACAAGAUGGCUUAUUUCCUGAAUGAACCAAGUCCAAGCAACCUUCCAAUUGUUUAAGAUUAGGUCAAGAUUUUGAGUUACUAAGGUCAUAUGUAGAAAGAGAAAUGACUUCUUCCCAUUUGUAUUUAUUUCCUAUUGCUCCUGUCUAAAAAGAAACUGCCUAUUGCUUGGACCAACAGUUGGUAAAGGACCAUUCAUUUUUGCUUUCAGUCCAAACUUCGUAGUCACUUCAAAGUUGAAGAAAAAUAACUUACCAACAAGCCUUCCUGAAGGGCUAAUUGCUUUGCAGUUUCAACAGCUUCAUCACUGGAAAUCUGUCAAUUCAAAUCCAUCAGAAGAAGGUAAAGGACCAUACAUGACUUCAAGAACUGAAGCCAUUAGAGAAACUUAAUACAAAGCAAAUCUCAACUACAACUUAGUUGAUACUAAGGCCACAUAAAAGUUGACUUACAGAAAUCACAAAAAUUUAGCCAGGAAGAAGGAAAGCAAAACUCAGACCUCUAUAACUUCAUCAACCACAUCUUGGUCCAAAUUCCCAGGAAUAAAACCAGCUCCAAUCCCUUGAAUCUUGUGAGGACCUGUAUUUUUUUAUAAGGGAGAGGUGGGGUGUCAAUAUAAGAUGCACAUUCCUAAAAAUUGACGCAUGAAAAUAACCUGUAUAUUUUUAUAAGGGAGAGGUGGGGUGUCAAUAUAAGAAGUAUCUUCUCUCACCAGGCUUUCCACCGGAAAGUAUGUUGCUCUCUGUAGGUUCCACACCAAUAACCUGAUACAUCCAAAGUCGAUACAAUCAGUCAACCAUUCAGUUGAAAAAAAGGCAAGGCCUGGCCCUUCUUGAAAAAGAAUUUCCUUCAAGAAAAUCAAUAGUAGGAGAUACUAAAAUUUCACUUUUCUUUUACCAUGAAAUUUCUAAAAAAAUUCUCCAAAAUUCAAUGCGAUGAUGUUCAGAAGGGCAUGUGAGAUAAAUGCUAUUCAGGGCCUGUUAAAAGCAGAAUAAUCACCUUAAUAUUGGGAUUCUUUUCUUUAAGGAAUCGACCAACUCCAGAUAUGGUUCCACCAGUUCCAAUCCCUCCAACAAAAAUGUCCACUUUGCCUCGGGUGUCUUCCCAGAUCUCUGGACCAGUUGUCUCAUAGUGUAUCUACAAAAGGAAACAUGAAUAUCAGUCUAUGGCCACAAAAGUCAGCAACGUAUAAUAAGGAGUGGUCGAUACAAACUUUAGGAUUUGCUGGAUUGUCAAAUUGUUGAAGCAUGUAGGCGUUGGGUGUGCUUUUCACAAUCUCUUCAGCUUUCUGAACAGCCCCCUUCAUGCCUUUUGCUGAAUCAGUUAAAACAAGCUCAGCUCCAAAUGCUUUCAGUAGAACUCUUCUCUCCAAACUCAUUGAUGCUGGCAUUGUCAAGAUCAGUCUAUAUCCUUUUGAGGCAGCUAUGAAGGCAAGGCCAAUGCCUGUGUUUCCACUUGUAGGUUCCACAAGAAUACUCUGAAACAUUUAAGAAGAAAUAGUGAGUAUCAAGCCAUAAGUACCAAAUUUAGUUGUUGUACAUAUACCAUAGAUACACAGAAGUCCCAUCUACGACCCAUUACCUUUCCAGGUGUUAUAAGUCCUCUUUGCUCAGCAUCAGAAAUCAUACUGUACCCUAUCCUGAAACCAAUUAAAAAAAGGAUAUUAAUCUCCUGAUCUUCCCUAUGAUUAAAAUUUUAAUGACGAAACAGAUAGUUUCAAGCCUCAUCGAAGAGAUUCUGGAAGUUCAAUUAAGAUAUAUGAAUACAUUUUGCUUGAGAAGAACCUAAUUAUCCAUGUACACGUGAAAUUCUUUAGAACCGAAAAUGCCAGAUUGAACACACCUUGAAAGAUACCCUUUUACCAGCAUCCAAAACUAUGCAAUAAUUAUAAAGACAUCAGCAUAGGGUUUGACAUAAAUAAAAGCCAUUUUAUCCUAGAUCUCAUGGUAAUGUUUUUUAACUAUUAGCAAACAAUGAGCUUGCUAACUAAUGCAUACAAGCUACAAUAUGCUUAUGAAAAGUUUGGCUACCUGUCCUUCACACUGCAACAUGGUUCCAUGAUCUCAAGCUUGGCAGCAAUAUUUGCAACAGAGCCUUUCACAAUAUUGUUCAAGUACACCAUUGGUGUUUUCCCAAUAAGCUGUGUUACAAAACAACCAAUAGAGAUAAAUAAAUAUCAGAACAAAACACAACAAGAAAUAAAAAGGUGUACUGAUUAAUAGAAAUUCAGUUCUUUCUCCAUUGAGAUGGCUCGUCUACAAGCAAAAUAGUAAUGUGUUUCAUAUAGAAAAACCAGACUCAGGCAAUGUAUUUUUAUAAAUAGAAGCAGUCACCAUGCAUCAGGUACAGAAGGACAACAGAAGCACUAAAUAUAGAGAAAGUGAAAAGAGGAAAAUUAGCAGACAAAGAAGCUUGGAAACCUUCAGACAACCGAAUGAAACUACCAUCCAAAAUCUAGCAUAUCUCAUACGGUAUAAGAAAACACCUUUUCUCCUUCCUUAGCUGGUAAUAAUAUAAAAUUUUGAAUGCACAAUUAAGUUUAUGUUAGCCAACACAAUCAAGAACAUAUUGCGAUCAUAAUCCAAUGCCUCAUCUCUUUAUUACCUAAUAAAUGGUGACAGAAGAAAAGUGAUCAAGGAAAACAAAUUCCCUCAUUUAGCACAAUAGACCAGCAAAAAAAAUUUUAGAGUUCCCAAUGUGUUUUGAUGAUAUGAAUCAUUUCUAAACAUAAACUGAAGAAAUAAUCUUUCUGGGUGCUAAAGAAGUAGUCUUAACUCACUCAGAUAUACGACAUCCCGAUGAAAGGAACAAAGAACUUCAAUUGAGCUAAUCCUAAUACUAAUCUAAGACUACUACAGACAGGAAAGCACAAAAGCCCGACUUUUUCGGUUUUUAUCUUCAUUAAUUUACACAGUAUUCACAAAAUUGGAAUUGUAGAGCAAUUGAAAUUGAGAAAUUCAUAAAAAAAAAAAAAAGGUCUUACUCGGUGCCAGUUAAAAACACCUUUUUACCAAAAAGUUUCCUCUAAAUGUAAAGACUAAUUCUACAAAUCCCACAAUUCGACCACGGAGAACAAAAUUCACUCCUACGCAACAGUACACUAAGAUUCGAAAAAGUAAAAACCAUACCAUCCUCCGUAGAAAUUACCCAAAUUCUCAAAAUUUAAUUCAGAAAAUAUAACAAAAAAGAAAA
RNAcentral lists this long non-coding RNA (76015 nucleotides) under Gossypium raimondii (Peruvian cotton). RNAcentral describes it as "long non-coding RNA (GRAI_LNC005005)". Lineage: Eukaryota; Viridiplantae; Streptophyta; Magnoliopsida; Malvales; Malvaceae. The record is from RNAcentral.